This 47620-nucleotide long non-coding RNA is filed under the name Jatropha curcas. RNAcentral's name for it is "long non-coding RNA (JCUR_LNC001606)". The record is from RNAcentral. Lineage: Eukaryota; Viridiplantae; Streptophyta; Magnoliopsida; Malpighiales; Euphorbiaceae.
UAUCACUGGCCAAGUUAUAAUUGUGGAUGGAGGACACACUGCGAAUGGCUUCUAAGUUUUACCCAAAUAAUAAAAACUAAAUAAAUGCUUUGUGGUAUCCUAAAUUAGACUAUAUAUAAUUUAAUAGUUGAUUUUAUUUAUAUAAAGUUCCAACUUGUAGGGCAAUCAGAUAUAUCUAUGUAGUAUCUUUAUUCCCUUAUGGGGAUAAUGACAAAAUAAAUAAUAAUAUUAAUAAAUUAUUUUUUAUAAUUUUAUUACAAACUUUCAAUUUCGAAAAUUUUUUGCAUAGAAUUUAAAAUUUUCAUAAUAUUAUUGUGAAGUUACCUUUAGUAUAUUAUGUUCUUUACCAUAAGCUGCUGUUCUAGGAAACAGUAGAUAGUGCCAAAGGUGUUUGUCAAAAUUUUCUUUGCUUUCAAUUGAUGGAAAACAAAACACAAUGGAAGCCAUGAGAUCGCAUAUAUAUAAUAUACAAGCAAACCACAGUGCUACAGAAAAUAUAAAAUCAAAGUUAUGAAAUCAUAAAAUCUUCUAAGCGAAAGAAAUCAGCACCGAUUUCGAUUUUUCUUCCAUGCAAUAGCUUUUGCGCGAACAGCUUCUGCUCUACCAAAAACAAACUAAUUUUCUCUGUAAUCUCCUGUUGUGUGACCUAAGCUGUUUCUUUAGAACUAUUUGUGUGGGUAGACGGCUAUUGAGAGAGGAAAAACGAAAUAUGGAAGACUAACGUCUAUGUUUAGUCUAAACGUCUCUUAUAUAUUUUCCUAAAAUUAACAUUAACAAAAACGAUAUAUAUAUAUAUAUAUAUAAUCACGUUUUGCAAUAUUUAUAUUAAAUUUAAUUAACCACUUAAUUAGCUUUAAAUAAUGCAGGCACAAUAGAGACCCACGGGAAUAAAAUUAAUGAGGCUACCUUAUAAUAAUAAUAAUAAUAAUAAUAAUGUAUUUAUACAACCUGUAAAACAUUAUUAUAACAAAAUUAUGAAUUAUUCCACUAAAAAUUUAUAAUUGAACUCCUCAUUAAUUUUGAAUCUCCUAAUAUUAAAAUAUACAAACUACCUAUGUUAAGAUUACAGACACUUGUUAAUUAAAUUAAAUUACCGACUAUUUUAUUUAAUUGGCAAUUUAAUUCCUCAAGAAUUUCACUUAACUUAUUUCAUGUGUCGCAUUACAAAAUCCACCUAUAAAGUUUUACAUAAUGAAAACUUAUAAGCUUCUGUAGGGGAAUCAUCAAUCUCUAUACCGAGACAUGGACUCUAUCAAUAAAUUUAUAUUUGACAAAUGCAUAUUGUUAUUGUCCAACUCAGUGAGUUUAUUGUUCCAUGAUGAAACUUACCCUUUUAAUGAAUCAAAGAAAUAGACAAACAUACAUUGCUUAUAACCAUUGUUAUGAAAAUUGGACCAGCCGGUUUAACCGAUUUGGUCGGGAACCGGACUGUGGUCCGGUCCGAGUUGUAUAAAAAAAUCAUAUGUUCAAAAAGUCGGCCUAAACCAGUAAAAAUCGGAUGAAAAUCGACUAAAAACCAAAUGAAAAUUGGCUAAAAAUUGAUGAACCAGACCGAUUAAAAAUCGGUUCGAUUCAAUUUCUGAGUUUUUAAAAAAUGUGGGCUUUUUAAAAAUUUGGGCUCUUAGAAACUGUGUCCACUGAUUUUUUAAUUUUUGGGUCUCUUUAUUUUUAAACCCAAAGUCCUAAUAUGUUAAUUAAAUGAAAAAUAAUAAUAUGUUUUAUGGCAAUUAAUUUUUUUUUAGUUUUAAAUUUAUUCAUAUUUUAUUCUUUUUUUUCAAAUUAUUUACUAAGUUUUAUUCUUUUUAUAAAAGUCAAAUUUGAAAAUGUUUUUUAUUUGAGUUCAAAAAUUUUUUUAAUCUAUAUCAAUUUUAUUUAAUAAGUGUAUUUAAAAAUAUUAUAUAUAAAAAUCUGGUUGAACUAUAUUGAAUCAGGUCGAACCCUCCAGUUUAAUGAACUCCUCCCUUCACCGGUUUACUGACCGGUCCGGUUCUCAGAACACUGCUUAUAACAAUUAAAUCAGAACCCCUCUAUAAUCUUUCUCUGAACACACCCAAGUUCUCCGGCCUUGGCACUAUCACCUCAAAUUUUUGGAUGCUCAGUCUUUGUUCAUAUUCCAGAGACUGAACGUUCGAAAUUUGAUCCCUGCGCAGUCAAAUGUGUCUUUGUGGGAUAUGGGAUUAACCAAAAAGGCUAUCGUUGCUAUAAUCCCAAAACCCGUCGUAUGUACACCACAAUGGACUGCGAUUUUCUUGAAAUUGAAUAUUUUAUGCCACACCCAACACAGUGGUCUGGGGGUGAGUAAAACAGAAAUUAACCCACUGAAUUGGUUACUCAGUACAACUUUGUCUGUCGGUGAAUCCAACCAAAAAGUUGAGCCAGCUUCAGACAAUGUAGAAACUAUCAAAUUCAUUGACACACCUUGGACUCCACAGUUGGAUGUCCAGGAGGUAACUACCCAAGUUCAUAAUGAUUUUACUUUCGCUUCACAUUACUCUGAACAUGAACAUACAGCUCCAGAAACAGAAUUAGUUGAGACUACAGGGACAUAUAUUCUUUCUCAUAAAAGCACCCGAGGUAUACCUCCGAAGAGAUACUCACCAGAACAUGAACCCAAAACGUCUAGAUAUCCAGUGGCUAACCAUGCCAGGGGGAGUUUGUCCGAAGUAGCCAAAGUGUUCACAACAAUACUAUACACUGAAGAUAUUCCUAGAACAGUACAUGAGGCUCAACAAAAGAAGGAAUGGAGAUAGGCUAUGGAAGUUGAAAUAGAGGCUCUUGAAAAAAAUGGAACCUGACAAAAGUGCAAACUACCUACUGGAAAGAAGACAGUUGGAUGCAGAUGGGUUUUUAUAGUGAAGCACAAGGCAGACGGAACCAUAGAAAGAUAUAAAGCUCAGCUUGUGGCAAAGGGAUACAUUCAGACAUAUGGAGUGGAUUACUCAGAAACAUUCAGUCCAGUAGCAAAAAUUGAGGGGGAGUGUUAGAAGAAUAAAUUGUAUAAGGAAAUGAUUGACCACCUUAAUAAUAGGAUCAAUCCUUUGUACAAUAAAAGGAAAGGAUUGAAAACUUUAGCAUCAAUCAUUUUCUAAAUUAGAUGAUACAAGAUCCCUAGAAUUAUAUUAAAUUGUCUACAAAUUAUCUAUAAGACAAGAGUUGUGCACAAAAAAAAAUUAUAAUGAGAAUUGAAACCUCUUCUUCAAACUUAAAACUCUAAAUCUAAGAAUUUUUGUGUGGUGUUUUAGUGCUUAUCCAUCUUGUGACUAUGAAUUGUGCGUUCUAAUUAAACUUCUAAAAAUGUCUGUUUAAUGCCCGAAAUGUGACGGUGGCUUCAAUUAGUUAGGACCACGCAGCAAGUCAAUAAUCUGACAAAAAAAAAAAAAAAAAAAAAAAAAAAAGAAGCAAAGGCCAAAUUUGCCAUGGUCUCCAAUGCCCUAAUGCAGGUUCGUUUCGCUAUAAAAGCACAGACACUACGAUUCGGUUAAAUAUUAUUAUAGCCACUUCAAUCAAGAUUCUCUUUUAAAAAGAAAAGAAAAGAAAAUAUCAAUUAGUUAUUGAAGAAGAAAGACAUGGCAAAAGCAGAAAUGAGUAGCAGAGGGAAAAGAUGGUCUCUCAAGGGAAAGACUGCUCUUGUCACUGGAGGAACCAAAGGCAUAGGGUAUUUCUAAUUUACUUAUUCUUUCAUUUUCCUCUCUUCUUUCAUUUCAUGCUUAUAUUAGUUUCCUUUGGAGUACUUUAGACAUGCCAUUGUUGAAGAAUUAGCAGAAUUUGGGGCAGUUGUGCACACAUGUUCUCGCAACCAAAAAGAGCUUGAUCAGUGUUUACAAGAAUGGCAGAGCAAAGGCUUCAAAGUAACUGGAUCUGUAUGCGACGUAUCAAAUCGAACCCAAAGGGAAAAGCUUAUAGAUGUAGUUUCCUCCAUCUUUGAUGGAAAGCUUAACAUUCUUGUAAGUUUUCUUCUUUUUUUUCUUUCUGAUGUUUCUCUUUUAAUGGUUUAACCAAGUGGAUAAGUUUUCUUGUUCCGUCUCAAUCUCAUUUUUUAAAUAAAUAAUUUUUCGAUAUAUUAAUUUUUUUUCCGCAGUUAUGUGGAUUUUUAUUGAAAUAUUAAAAAGAGCCAUUUUAAUUAAAAUUGGAAAUUGGAACUGACAGUCCUACAUAUGCUUAAUUAGGUCAACAACGCAGGGACAUGUAAAUUUAAAGAAGCCUUAAAGGAUACUGCUGAAGACAUUUCGACCAUUAUGAGUACCAAUUUUGAGUCAGCAUAUCAUCUAAGUCAGCUUUCGCAUCCUCUCUUAAAGGCAUCAGAAUAUGGAAAUAUUGUAAAUAUCUCUUCCAUUGGAAGCAUUGCUGCUUUCCCUCUUGGUGCUCUCUAUGCAGCAUCCAAAGGUAUGAUAUUGUGCUUCUUUUGCCCUUUUACUUAUACAUGAUACAUAAUAAUAUAAUUAUGUCAUUCGGCCAUAACUUUAUAUUAUAGCGGUAAUUAUUGAUAAAAUUUUACCAUAUAAUAAAUAUUUAUUACUAAUAGCUAUCAGCUACUGGCCACCAGCCACCACAUAUUAAUUAUUAACUAACACAAACUGAUCUUUAGUUUUACUUCUUGAAAAUUUUGUUAAAAUUGAUCUAUUUGCUAUUUAAAAAACAUAACAGUAAGCUUGUCGUACGCAGUUAACUAUUUGCUGUUCACUUGAUUAAUUGAUAAGAUGGAUGAUUUGCAGGAGCGAUGCAGCAAAUUACAAAAAAUUUGGCAUGUGAAUGGGCAAAUGACAUGAUUCGAGUUAAUGCAGUUUUACCAGGACUUACAGAUACCCCCCUCUUAGAUCUUGCAAAGGUUUUUCUAUUAAUCAGUUUUUAAUAAUUAAAUAUUUAAAAGAUGAAAAAGCAAAUUUUUACUCAAUUGUGAUUAAUGAAAGUGAAAUAGUUUUGACAUAUGAAUAUUGAAUCAGUUAAUAUUUUUCUCUUUUAUAGAAAAGUUGGGAUAAUCCUGAAGUUGAGGAUCAAAUCACUCGUGGUAUCCCUCUCUCUCGAGAAGGAAAACCUGAAGAGAUUGCAUCAGUGGUGACAUUCCUUUGUUUACCUGCUUCUUCAUAUAUCACUGGCCAAAUUAUAAUUGCUGAUGGAGGAUUUACUGUGAGUCGCUUCUAAAUUUUACCCAAUAAAAAAAACAAAAUAGUAAUUAUUUUUGUUGUAUUCUGAAUUAGACAAUAUCUAUUUUAGUAAUUAAAAACAUUUAAAUAAAGUUUCAAUCUGUGGAGAAACCAUAUGUAACGUGCUAAUCUAUUACUAGAAGUGUUAAUUUAAAUUGGAAUUAUGCAUCUUUUGUGAUGGAAUCAACUUGGCUUGCUUUUUCAUGCACAAGAAGAAAACAAUUGGAAUUUUAGGUUAGACAAGCACGUUUACCCGCAGUAUGUUUCGGGCUUGCUACUGUAUUUUUAUCUAUUCAAUGUCUACUUUGGUACUUUUAUUUAAAAAAAAUAUUCUAUUCACAAAUUACUAUUUUACUAAUAGAAAAUUUAUUCGACUAAUACAUGUAAACUAUAUUUUGGGAUAUAUUUAAAAUAAUUUUAUAAUUAUAUUAGGAGAACAAAAUUAUCCUAACGCUAUUGCGCCCUUAAAUUUAUUUUUAUUUUUUAAUAUUAGAGAAUUUUGUAAGAAAAAUAUAUAAUUCACAUUUUUGUUUGUUUGCUCAUUUUUUGCUAUAAAAAUAUUGAAUCCACAAAAAGAUAAAAACUAAUUUUUAUGCUUCUAAAUUUCUCAAAUUUUAUUUAUUAAUUUAUUAAUAGAAAAUUCAUUCGAUUAAUACAUGUAAACUAUAUUUUGGGAUAUAUUUAAAAUAAUUUUAUAAGUAUAGUAGGAGAACAAAAUUAUCCUAAAGCUAUUGCGCUCUUAAAUUUAUUUUUAUUUUUUAAUAUUAGAGAAUUUUGUAAGAAAAAUAUAUAAUUCACAUUUUUGUUUGUUUGCUCAUUUUUUGCUAUAAAAAUAUUGAAUCCACAAAAAGAUAAAGUAAUUUUUAAGCUUCUAAAUUUCUCAAAUUUUAUUUAUUAAGUGAUAUAAAUUUUUAAUAAUUUAUCAAUUACCUUCAUAAAUUGCUCAUGAAUCUUUUAAUUAGUUCUAGUAAAAAAAAUUCUUAAAGUGAAAAAAAAAAUUAAAAUGGUCAAUAGAACAAUAUAUAUAUAUAUAUAUGAAAAUCAACCAUUAAUAGUUUUCUGCUUAUUAAUGACUAUCAUAUUAAUAGUUUUGCAUCUUUAAGAGCCAAAAUCCAUUUGCAGGGAUGGAAUGAUUUGAACAUAAGCAUAUAUAGAGGGUAAAAAUUGAAUAAAAUAAAAAGAUGAUGGUUUAAAAGAGAAUUCACUGUUCUUAUUGUAUUUACCAGUGAAAUGAAUUUUACCGGUCAAUUUGUAUUUACCAUAUUGCUUUACUUUAUUUAUUUUUCUAGAUUAUUACCUUUCUUAUUUUCUUUCUUUUUCUAUUUUUUUAUAUUAUUAUAAUUGAAAGAAAAUUAGAAGAAAAUUUUGAGAUUUUGUUUCUAUCGAAGAAGAGAUGUAAGACAAUAAAAAAAAGUAAAAAUAGAGAAUAAAUUGAAUGUGUGUUUAGAUUUUAGAUUUAAUACUCCCUCUAUGCUAUAUAUAUGCGCGCAUAGUUUGACUUUGUCGUGGAUUUAGAAAAAUGUUUUAAUAUAGUUUUUUUUUUUUUAGUUUCUUCUAAAUUACCAUUCUUCUAAUAUUAAAUGAUUCGUAAUAAUUCAUUAAAUUUUGAGUCUAUAAAUAUAAAUUAAAUGACAAUCAAUCACUCAUCCGUCUCGAAAAGAUAGCCCUUUUUUUUAAAAGGAAGACCAUAUUAAUAAUAUAAAAUGGAAAAUAUAAAUUGCAAUUAAUGAGAAUAACUAGCUUGAUAAUCUUUUAAAAUUCAAGAGGAAAAAAAAUAGAAAAACAAAACUACUUAUUAAAUAAUAUACGAAUUUGAAGGAAAACUGACUUACGAAAAAUAAUGAAUUAACGGGGAUUACUAAAAAUAAGAUAAAACUUAAUAAGGAUAUAAUAAAUAAUUUAACUAUAUAUACAAAAAGUACGUGGAUUAUAGUUUGGGAUAGACCAAAAUUGAAAGAUAGAUUAUCUUUUUAGGCAAAGGAGUAUGAAUUAUUCCUCUUCAAAUACUAAAAAUAAGAAAAUUAAAAAGUUUAAAGACUACAAAUGUAAUUAACGUUUUUCUUUUUAAUGAAGGCCAAUACAGCUUUCGUUUUUUAAAAUCAUGUGAGAGUUGUAUGAAUCCACUCCUUAGCUUUGUAGAAUAAACUUUCUGCUUUCAUUUUCAAAAUUGAAAAAAAAAAAAAAAAAAACAAGUGGAGAAUCUGAUUUUCUGAUUAGGCUUUUACUACAAUACAGAUAAUAAUUAUUCUGUAUUGAUACAGAAUCUUCAUUAAUUGACACAUGUAUUAAAGAAACCUAUUGUAACAGGUUACUCAAUUUGUUGCUCUAUUCUUUAUCUAUAUAUUUCCUAAUUUUAUCUUUUUUUUAUCCAUAUAUAUUUUCUAUCCUGCAACAUAUUAUAUAAAAUAUUAUCUAAUGAUAAAUAUAAAAUUAUCUCAAAAAAAAUUAGAAUUCAAAUUCAAGUACAUAAAAUUUUUCUUCUAGUAUUAUUAAUGUAAAAAAAAAAUAAAAUUAUUACUUAUCAUUUGAAAUCGUGUAUAUAAAAUAUCAUAUAAGAGCAGUUUUAUAAAGAUAAAAAAUAGAUAAAUUAUUACAGGCAUAAAUUUCUUUUAAUUAAAAAAUUUGUAAAAAUAUAUUAAUUACAAAUUCUAUAUUCCAAUUUACAAAUUGAAGGUUAUAAAUCAUGAUACAUGGACCUUUACAUUAUAUAAAUUCUAAACCAAACAAAUUUUAUUCGAAAGCUAGAUGAGUACAUAAAAAUUUAAUUUUAAAAAUUGUAAAAUAUAAUUUACAGAAAAAAUAAGAUUGAUCAGAAACUUCAAAAUUAAUGAAUUUUAAAAUAAUUUUAUAUAUAUAUAUAUAUAUAUAUAUAUAUAUAUACACGUGUAAUUUGAUGUUUUAAAAAUUAAAUAAAUAUUUUUAUGACUAAAAAUACAAUAUGAAUUAUUUUUAAAAAAUGUAAAUGAAUUUAAGAUAACAAUCAAUUAGUUAAACAACAAAGUAGAAGUAAUAAGGUAUAAUUUAUAUAGUUUAAUUUAUACAAUUUGAUAUUAUAUAAGCGUAGAGAUUUAUAAGUCAAACAUUGGAGUUGCAUAAUUUAAUUUUUUUAAUUAAAAAAUAUUUUAUUGAACAAUAAUGAGAUGUCGUGUAUGUAUGAUAUAAUUUAAAUUACAUGAUACAAGAUAAAUGUUUUAACAAUAAAAGAAUAGAAAUUUAUAAUUAUUUAUUAAAACUUUAAAUAAUUUAUGUUGAGUAAAUGAAUUUAAAGUGUUGGACAAUUAUUUAUCUUUGAAUUUUCAUGUUUUAGAGAAUUAUAGUUGUGUCGAAAAUAGUAACUUUUUUUUUGAUUUACACAAUUAAAUAAUUUUUAUAUUUUAAUAAUAAAAAACUAAAUGUUCUACUUUUAAUAAUUCAUUCUAUAAGUAACAAGUCAUUUGAUCAAUUUCAAAUCUAUUGGUCGAUAUCUAACUAGUGUAAAUCUAACGGUGAAGAAAGAUUCUGUAUUAGUAUAGAAAUUUUUAAAUUUGUACUGUAGUUUUACCCUUCUGAUUAAACCGCACAACCUCCACCAAAAUAAAGAAAAUUAGAAAAAAAAAAAAAAGAAAAGCUAGGUUUAUAUACGAAAUAAACUUGUGCUUUCAUUUCUAUGAUCAAAGAAACAAACAGCCAAAAAAUUAGAUUUUUCAAUUUAAUGGUAAAUAUGGUACACAUAUAUAUAUAUAUAUUCUGAUUCAACGGUGUGUGUGUAUAUAUAUAUAUAUAUAUAUAUACUAGUGUCUGUGUGGAGUAAUAUAAAAGGAUGGAAUAUCUUUUGUCAUGACAUCAUUCAAAAAUAACAAAAUUGUACAUUAAAAUGAUUGUGAAAUGCAUUACAAAAUUAUAUCUCAUUGAAAUAUGCUGAAAAAGUUGCAAUAUUAAGAUGUGUCUUCUUAAGUAUCCUGCAAAACAAUUCACCAAGAUAUGCAAUAGCAAAAAUCAUGCAUGGUAUGACAUGCAUAAAAAAUGCACACACACUAUUAAUGUAUUUUUCAACAGCGGCAAUAAUUUUAAGAAUUUAAUUAAUUAUAUUAAAAUAAGAAAUUAAAUAUUUUUGUAUUUUAUGUUUAUGAUUUAUUAUAACUAAUUGUUUAUUUAUUUGAAAAUAUUAAUGUAUUAUAUUUAAUUAGUGUUUUCUAAGCGUAUGAAAAUUUUACUUUUUUAAAAAUUAUCAAAUUCGUACAUUUUCGUAUCUUGUGUCCCGUGUCCUUGAAACCUAAUUCCUGGCAUAUGAGAUUACUUCAUAUACCAAACUAAUCAAUUAAGAUUUUUUUUUAUUAUCAAUAAAAACAUAAAGUGUUUUUUGUAAUUUUUUUAUUGUCUUUGUUUAUUAAUGAACAAAAAAAAAUACUCUCGUUCAAUUAAAGACAUAUUUCGACAGUCUUGGUAAAUCAUUUGCCUUUGUCAUAUUCUAAAAUUAUUUCACAUUAAAGAGAUUUUUUUUAAUGAAAAUGAUAAAUAAAUUAAAAUGGGAUAAGGUUAGCUUUAUGUGGUAUAUUGAUUAGUUCAAUUAUUAAUAAAUUUAAUUUAAAAAGAAAAUUAGUUCAACGACUUAAUUUAGAAUUCUGAAAGUUGAGUAAAAAAAAAUUGUUUCUAUUAUAAACUAAAAUAAAAUUAAUUCUAAAUCAAAUCAAAUUAAAUGGAAUAUUUCGAUAUGAUUUUUGAUUUUUUUUUUUAAAUACUAUCCACCCUACCCCAGUGAGUAAAGUGACCUAAUUUCUAAAUAUAUGUGUACAUAUUCUUAAUUUUUAUUUUUUAAUAUUCAUCUUGCGGAAUGAAAAGACACAUUGAUUGAAAAAUCAUACACAAUAUUAAAAAUAAGAUUAUGAAAUACUCUAUAAUUAUAUAACAACAUAUAAAAAUAUAAAAAUCAGUUUUACUUCAAACUAUAUGAUUGAAAAUUAAAUGUAAAUAACAUAAAAUUAGGACUUUAACAAAAUGCAUAGAUUAAACAAAAAUAUAGAAAUAUAAUAUGUAUAUAUAAAGAGAGAUUUAGAAAGUUGAUAAUUGAAAUUUUAGAAUUAUGCAACUCUUUUAUAAAUUGAAAGUAAAAUUAGUUUUGAAUUAAGAAUUGAUAUUUUAAACUAUUUUAAAUGAUUUAAUUAAUUAAAAUUUUUAAUAGAUGCAUAAAAUUAAUAUUUAAAUACUUCUUCAAAAAAAAUAAUAUUUAAAUAAAAACACAAUAAAAAGUUAUAUAUGGAUAUUGAAGUUUUUAAUUGGUUUCUAUAAAUUUAUUCUUCAUUUGUUCAUUAAAAUGUAAUUGACAUAAUGCAUCCAUGUCUCUUUAAAUCUCAAAAAUAAUAAUAACAAAUGAAUAUAAUUUGCUUCAAAGGUAGAAAGUCGUUUAAAUAUUUUUAAAUUUAUGGUUUAUAUUCAAAGUGUUAAAUCUAAUGAUAGAUAUGCACUUCUUUACCAGUAAAGAAAAUUUGAAUUAUGUAAAGUAAUUUUGCCUAAAUUUCCCAUACGCUUGUUUUGCUAUAAAUGAUUUUUAUACAAACUUAUAUCCUCAGAGUCACAGUACUAUAUUUUAGUUGAAUAUCAUCAAAUUCAAUAAAAGUGAAUUAUGAAAUUACUGUAUCCCUUCUUUCUAAUGAAUUAUAAGUUUUGAAUAAACAUAUUAAUGGAAAAAAGCAAAAGAGGUUACCUUUAGCAAAAUUUCAAAUAAUGAGAAAACACUUAUCAAAUUCUGUCUUGUCAAUAGUACAUACGCAAAUAUUUAUUUAUUGGGAGGUUGUCCAAUGCCCAGAAUAAUAUUAUUAUACAGGGGUAAGCAUGUAUUUAAAUAUUAUAUAUAUAUAUAUAUAUAUAAAUUUGAUAGGGCUCAACGAGUUUUCGAGCUGAAUGUCACUAGGCUCGAGCUCAACUCAUUUACUCACGAGUGGGAGCUCGAGCUCGAUUUGAGCAAAAUUUUUUCAAACUUUUUUCGAGCUGAACUCAGUUCGAAUAAUUCGUGAGUCGGCUCGGCUCAUUUACACUUUUAUUGGUAGCCACCACUACUAAUAACCGUCCACCACCACUAUAUUAUAAUAAUAAUAAUAAUAAUAAUAAUAAUAAUAAUAUAAUCAACGUCUUGCAUGAGUUAUUAAAAAAAAAAUCAAGAAAACUGGGAUUUCUAAUUUUCAUAAAAAAAUAAUAGAAAAAUUGUCCGAUAUAUACCGGAAAAAAUUGUCUUUCAUUCCAACUGGCUUCCAAAGGAAAAAAUAACAACUUAGUGUAGAUAAUGAAGGUUAAGAAAUUAAUCAAUUAAUUAUUGGGAUACAAAAAGGAUAUUUGCUGUGUGUGACAUGACAGAUGACAGCAAAUAUUGUUGAAAUCAACCAUUAUACAUGUUUAAUUCUUAUUAUAAUAUUUUUUUUCUUUGAAAAAAAAACAGAUAGAAAAUUAUGUUUAUAUGUUACUAUCACUAUAAAGACAAACCGUCUCCUAGUCCUAGGAGCUAUCAGGUUUCAAAUCUCCCUAAUCAAGAAGCAUAAUACUGUUUUGUAGAAAAUUAUCCAAAAAUGUUGAUGAUUUUUACGUGUUAACUGUCCAUGUAACUCUCUUACUAAUUAUAAGAGCAAAAUGUAUAAACUCAUAUCUGAAUUUUAUAUAAAAAGAUAUUAAUAACACCCUUCAUUUUUAUAUUGAUAUAUUAAUUUUUAAUUUACUUUAAUUUAUUGUUAAAUAUUUAAACUUAUACUAAUGCUGAAGAAAUAUUCAAAAUGUAUAUAUCAUUGUUUAAUAAUGUUAUAUCUAUGGCUGGUGUUUCCGUUCUUCGGAUGAGCAAUGGAUUCUGGGGUUUGCUGCCCCAUUGAGCACUUGUACAGCUCUUGGCAGAGCUAUGGGCAGUCUUCUAUGCUUUGUCUGUGGCUAGGGAAAAGUGUUGGGUUAAGCUCCAACUUCAGGUGGACUCGCAUGCGCUUGUGGAUAUGCUUUCAAACAGAUGAUCGUCGGAAAAUAAGUACAGAAACUUAGCGGCAGCGUGUGUUUCGCUCUUGGAUUGUCAAUGGAAUGUGCAUUUGGUGAAGAUUUUCCGAAAGCUAACAGUGUAGCAGAUUGUCUUGCAACUUCUGCUAUUGUGGGUGGGCGAGGCCUUCAUUUAUUUGAUAAUCCUCCUGCUGCCUGCUCUCUGGUGCUUUAUGCUUACUCGGUGUAGCUUGGCCUCGUGCCAAUUAGUUUCUUGGGUAUCAUCCCCUCCUUUCUAAUUUAAAAAAAAAAAAAAAUGUUAUAUCUAUAAUAUUUUACUAAAUAAAUAAAAUAUCUAAUAAUUUUAUAUUUUUAAUUUAUUUUUAAACUCUAUUUUAUAUAAAUCAACUCAAAAUAUAAAAUUCAAUUAUAAAUGAAUUCUUCAUAUUUGAAAUAAAUUUUAAAAUAAAAAUUCAUUAAUUUUAAUCUUAAAAUACUUUUGGCAUAAUAAUUUUAAAAAGCUAGGAGGUGGAGAAUUUUGUCGUAAAAUUUUAAGUUGUUUAAGUUUGCAGAAUUUAUUUGAAAAUUUUAUAUUUUUAUAUAAAAUUUGAUUUUAUUAUAUUCAAAUCCAUAAAAUUAAUGUCGUAAAAUUUAGUUAUUCAUUUUUUCAUACUAAAUUCAAAAUUUUAGAUUUAUAAAUGAGUUCUAUAAAAUUCAUAGAACUCAUUUAUUUUAAAUAAGAGUAUAUAAUUUUACAAAUUUAAGCAUUUAAUUUAAAGUUGAAAUUAUCAUUUAAUCUUUCUUGUAAAAUUCAGUUAUCAAUUUACAUAAUGAGUUGAUUUAAAUUUUGGGGGAAAACGUAUCGACACACAGAUAGAUAUAUAUAUAUAUAUAUAUAUAUAUAUAUAUAUAUAUAGAGAGAGAGAGAGAGAGAGAGAGAGUACAAUUAAUAACUAAUUUAACUGGCACGUUGGUAUCACCUGUAAAAAGCUUAACGAUGCUAACUUUUAACUUUAUUCUAUUAUGUGAAUAUCUUUUUUUGGAAAUAUGACAUAUUUUCAGGAAAGAAUUUUAUAUUGGAUUAUUAAAUAAGUUACCUAUUUUUUUUGGAAAGGAAUAAGUUACAUAAUUUAAUAUUUCAAAAGAAAAAAAAUUACACAAUUUAAUAUGAUUAAUGAUGCUUAUGAAUGAACGCUCAAUGGUGUUUCAAAAUCUUCGGCUUUCUAACAAUAAAAUAUAAAUUAUAUUUAUUACUAUAAUUACUAGCUCUGAUACAUAAUAUUUGUUAUAUUUGAAUUUUCACGUUUUUUAAGUAAAUCAUUAAAUUUUUCUAAAUUAUAAUAAAUUAUUAAGUAAAUUGACUAAUUUACACAUAAUUUAAUAUUAAUUCUUUAAAAAAAACCAUUAAAUUGAAGUAAUAUUUAUUGAUCAUAUACAAAGGGUAAACAUGAGAAAAAAUAUUUAUUACUCUUUGAAACCACAAACGUGAUGAGUAUUUUAAAAUAAAUUAUUUUCUCAAAUGUGACAAGUAUUAUGGAAUAAAGGUAGUAAUAUUUCAUAAUUAGCAAUUAUCAAAAAUAUACUACUAUAAUAUACUAUUAAUAUAAAAAAUUAGUAUAGUAUUGUAGUAGUAUAAUAGUAAAACUAUUAUACUAAUAUAAAUUAUUAAUUAAAUUAAAAUUACUAUUAAUAUAAUUUUAAUAAAGUAUUAAUGUGGUAUAAAUCUCCGAAGUACCAAUAUUAUAAAAUGGGACUAUGAUAAAAAGAAUAAUGAUGUAAUCAAUGCACUGGAUGACUAUAAUGUAUUAAUGUUAACUUCAUAUAUUGUAACUUGAAUAUAUAUUUCAAGCUUACUCGAAUUUAUUUCUUAUUCCAGGAUAAUUUUGUUUUUCAUGUAUAUAAAAUUUAUUGUUAAAAAAAAAAAAAGAUAAAAAGAAGAAGCAUAUCCAGGCAUUUGCUUGCUUGACAGAUAUUAAUUAAUUUGACCAGUAAAUAUAGCAAUUCCUUUUGAAGACUCAAAAUGUUUUUAGAAAGACAUUGAUUCAACCCAUUUGACUGGUUUAUAAUUUUCAACUAAAAUCUAAUCUCAGUAUAUUUAUAAAAUAAUUAAAGAAUACCUAGGAGUGGAAUUUGGUUGCAUAUCACCAUCUUUUUCCUUUAAAAAAUAUAUAUUUCUUUUAAUAAAAUAUGAUUAAUCAAUAAUUAAAUAAUAUGUGAGAAGAGAAAAGCUCAUUGCUUGUGAAGGUAACUUUGGUUGAUAUUGAUUGAUAUUUUAAUAUAAUAAAUUAAAUUAAAUUGAAGAAAAUACUUUUCAUUUCUCAACGCUAACUAACACGGCAAGGAACGAAAAUACUCUAAUCUAUUAUUUUCCAUGACUUCUUCUGAUUGUCAGUUUCUAGAUACUGCAUAAUAUAUAUAGAGUUUGCAAUUUUCACCUUCUUUUCCUUUUUUCAUUUAUAAUAUUAAUUUAUUAAGACAAGAGAGUGAUAAUUUUUGUUUUUUAAAAAAUAAAAAAAAUGCAAAACUUGCCUUCAAAUCAUCUCAUUAGAGGAUGCCAUAUGGAAAAUAUUUUUAACUUAGAAAUUGAAUGUAACAAGUCUAUAAAAUGCAUCCACGAUUCAUGUUUCAUGUGUUUAUUUCCUUUUGUUUUAUUGAUUGAGAUGUUCUUCUAAAAUAAAUUUCUGAUGAUUGAUUGAUAUAUUUCUUUUUAAACAUAAAGUUUGUAUAUUUUUUCCUAAUAUUACUUGUUCCAAAUAUAUAUAUUUUUCAUUUUUUUAACGAGAAACGGAGUCUAUUUUAAUAAAAAUAAGAUUAUUUAUUUCCUAAAAAAGAAUUAAGAAUUUAAAAUAAAGAGUAAGGGUUUGAUUCAGAUAAUAAUGGCUAAUAAAACUAUUUUGCAAUUAAUAUUUUUUUUAUGAUCAUUUUAUUAUAAUUAUUUAAAAAUAAAAAAAAUUUAUCAGACAUUGUUUUAAAAUUUUUAAUUAAAAUUUUUAUUUAUAUUAUAUAUUAAAAUAAGAAAUAAUACAUAUGUUCACUUUAAAUAAACAAAUAUAUAUCUACACACAUUAUAAAUUAUAAUAUAUAAAUGAUUAUGCCCUUAAUGAUCAUUUUAUAUUUAACAGUACCUGUUACCCAAAUUUUGUCCAACAAGAACAUACAUCAAAUGAUUGCUAUCAACAAUUAGUCACCAGUGUCAUCAACUAUCGGCUGAUAUGAAUUACUGAACGAGCUUUUCAACUAUAAUGUGGAUGGCAAAUCUUAUAACGGAAUUGAUAUUAUGAUAUAGUAUGUAAAUCUUUGAUUUGGGCUUGGUAUAAAAGUGAGCUUCUGUUGUCUACCAAAAUGCAGGCUUGGUCAUAAUAUGAUCUUGGAAAAGCCUGCAUUUUGGUAGACAAUGGAAGCUCAGUUUAUAGAGCCUGACUAAGCCCAUAUCCAUAAUACCUCUUGCUUAUCUUGUUCACCGCCUAUAAUCCACAAUACACAACUUAAGUUUGAACUAUUACACUGAAUCAAAAUAAAAGGAAAAUAAUGAUAAAUUGUUAAUUUUCUUUUCAUUGUUAUUUUCCACCAUUGUGUUUAGAUAAUAAAGAAAAUAAAAUAAAUUUAUUUUUCUUUAUUUGGAAAAGAUAAAAUUUUAGUGAAAAAAAUUGUUAAUAUUGACAAUAAUUUUAAUAUUCAGUUAAAAGUAGUUUGGGUAUUUGAGUAAUUACGUAAAAAUUGGAGAAACAUCAAUAUUCCACCAUUAUUUUCUCUCUAUUUUCCACCAUUAUUUUCUCUCCUAAAUAGAGAGAUUCUAUUUUUGUGAGAUGGGGACGAAAAGAAAUUAAUUUUUCCUUUUUUUCCAAAGAAAAUUGCUUUUCACAAUUAUUUUUCUCAGUUAUUUUAAUUCCUUAAAAAAAUACCUCCAUCCAAACAGAGUAUUAGGUAAUUGAUUAUGUCUCUAGACAGUAACAUAACAUGAAUUGGAAAAAACUAUACCACAUCAAGAGCACUUGCACACUUUGCUAGCCAAUCUGCUUUGAAAAUUAGUGUGUGUAUAUAGGGCUGUUAACAAGCUGAGUUGAGCUUUGGUGAAUUGGAAAAAACUGACAGUUGUCUGACUUAUAUAACUAUUUAAGAAAAACAACUAUUUCAGACAAAUUGCAACUGCUCAUGGAUCUUACGGGAACAACAGAGACUAUCUAUUCCUGUUAGAGAAAGCCUAUUUGAUAUUGGUGAGAAUAAUAUUCUUCAAAUACCCUUAUUAUUGUCCAUAAUAAAUUAAUGUAUCAUAUUAAUAUUUUCCAAAUGGUUGAGUGCUCAAUUGCUUAAGUUUGUGAAUAUGUCUAACAGGUCAUGCGGAUGACAUGGUGAUUGAGUUGGCAAAUGAAGUGAGGAUGGUAUACUUGGAAUUAUAGGAAACAGGAUUCCCAUUGAGAAGAAGGUAAAUAGAGAUUGGUUUGUUUAGUUUUUUUUUUUCUUUUCCUUUUUUUCUUUUUAUUACAUUGAUCAUGUAAGUUUUUGUUUUUGUUUUUUUUUUUUUUUUUUUUUUUUUGUUUUAUUUAUUAUCUACAAAAGUGUAGGGAUUUCAGAAUAAAUGAUCGAAUCAGUACAUCAUCAAUUGGAUGCAAGGUAAUGUUAAAAAUAGUUGUUUUCUUUAAAUUUUGUUUACUUUUUUCAUUUUCAGAUUUUAUUUUCAUUAAUAUAUACAUAUUUCAUUAUUUUCUUUGAAAUACUAUUUUUCAUUAAUUUAUAAAUUAUAAAAUAAUUUAAAUAUCAAAUAAUUUAUUUAAAUAAUAUUUAUUUAAAAAUUAAUAUUUUAUUUGCAUAAUUAUCUAUUUCAAUAUUCGGUUUUUGAAUUUACUUGAACAAAUGUAUUUACUAGAAAAUUUUAAUUUCUCAAACUUUUACUAUUCAAUAGAGUUGUUUUAAUUGUAAGGGUUUAUUGAAAAUAUAUAUUUUAUAUUUAUGUUUUUGUUUAUCCCUUGAUAGAAUGUUAUUUGAACAAUUCAAAGUAUAGUAAAGAUAGUAGAUGUUUUAUAUUUGAUUUUACUUUAUAUUUAGUAUUUCUAGCAAUGCACAAUCACUAAAGAUAAAGUAAUAUUAUUUUCUCAUUAAUUAUAAAUUUUUAUGAUUAUUUGUGCAUAACGCUAGAAAUCAGGGAUAUGUAUUUUUUGAGAUUUUCUCUAAAUAUUUUCCCAAUUUUUUAUUCUUCAUUUUAGUAUGCAUUGAAAAACAAUAAUUGUUGAAACAAUAUAUAAAUAUUCACACGUAAAACGCGAGUUAACGACUAAUAUGAUAUAAAUACGAAUCAACUAUCAACGUAGAUGAUGGAAUCAAAUAGUUGUUUAAGAGUUGAUACUAAUUAAAUUGCUUACCAAAUACUUACAACAUAGAUGUUGUGUACGAAUUAGCUAUGAGCUGCAUGAAUCAAUUGAAUCAAACAUCCUCUAGAGCGACAUAUAAAGGUUGCUAGCUUAGCAUGGUAUUAACCUCUUACUCAAUUAUUUAUCUCACCGAUUUAAUUUUAUCUCAUUGUACAUAUCAUCAUCAAUGCAUUACCCUAGUUUAUAUCUUGUAAAACAUAUGUCAUCAUCAAAAGCAAAUUCCUGGUUUCAUAAUUAAAAUUAAUGUUCAUUUUGUAUAUUUUUGUAUGGUUUCAUACAAAUAGUGACUAAUAGGAAUAAAAUAAUAUUAAAUUAAUAUUGUCGAUAUAUUUUAAAAAAUAAAAGUAAAUAAAUUUUUAAUUCUCAUUUAUUCCAAAAUUUUCUUUAAACUUUCUUAUCAACAAUCUGGAAUAUUAUUUAGACGAAAUGGAAUCCCCUAUUUGGUUUUGAAUUUGGUUCCAAAACCUUUGGCUGUCUCUGUCGGCUUCAUACUUGUUAAUUAGGCCGACCAGACACAACUUGCCUAGUACAAAAUGACGGUUUUGUCUACCAGAUAGUGCAUACGACAAGUGGAAACGACGAUUUUGCAUGCCGUGGAACAGUGACUUAUAAUGCCAAACGAUGUCUGGAUGUUGGGUGGUCGUUUCGUCGAGUUUCGUAUUCCCUAUACACAACUUGUGGUCAUUGGUCCCCGUGCACAAGGCCACAAGCCAUACCUCAAUGUCGUUGUCGUUGACUAGGCACUUUAUUAUUUUUGCCUCGGUUCUAGAAGCAGGUCUAUUGUUGUCUGGCAUGUUCCGUCGUCGCUCUGUUUCUAUAGGUGCUCCACUUCGAAUUUGACAUAUUUUCUUAAUAUAUGUGCAUUAUUAUUCCUAUUAUUUUAAGCGGUGCGAAGCUGAUCCUGAGCUCAUUCACUAAACCUUGACUACUGAAUACUGAUUAAGCUAUUGAAGAGGGAAAGAAACAAAAAUGCAACAUAACUUAGAAUAAGGAUUAUGUUUAACACGCAUUAAUUGAAUAUUAUGAAUCAUAAUUAAAAAUAUUUUUAAGUCAAAUAUAUAAAUUCACUCUUGAACUUCUCAACUUUAACUUUGUGGCACCUUUAUGAAUGACUUAUUGUGCAUUUAAACUUGCAAAUUUUGCUAAUAUUAUAUACUUUUCCACACUAAUAGCAAUAUUUUAAAGGAUUUUUGGCUUUCAUAAGAAAAAUAUUGAUUGGAUGUGGUCAGUAUAAUUUUUGCAACAAUAAUUUUCAAAUUUUCAAAGAUUUAAUAAGUAUUUAAUUGAUCUAAAUUUGUAAGUUGAAAUGCUUGAUAAAAUAAUUCUACAAAUUGAAGCGUUCAAUAGAUAAAAUUUUAUAAGUUGAAGUGUUUAACGGGUCAAAAUAAAAGUUGAAGGUGCCAUAAAAUUAAAAUAACAAAAUUUAUGGCGAAUUUAUGUAUUCAGCCAACGUUUUUAAUUAGAAAUUGUCAAUUAUUUUCUUUCUCUAUUAUUGUUUCCUUACUAGUACUGUAAAUUAGGGAUCGCAACAGAUGGAGUGCCCAUAUAAAAUGCACUAUCAAAUCCAAACCCAAUUAUAAAUUAGGUAUCUGAAGUGUUAUCAAAAUCUUAUGAUUCACAAUACGAAUCUUAUGAUUCGAUUCAAUUUUUAUGCUCAAUGAUUCGAAUCUUAUGGUGAAUAAGUAUUGAUAGUGAACCUUACGAUUCAUGUGAUUAGAAUCUUACGAUUUAUGUGAUUAGAAUCUUACAAUUCGAAUUGAUUCUUAUUUCAAAUGAUUCUCCUAUCCAAUAAAACCAAUGGAAAAGUCAAUAUAGAGAAAAAAAAAAAAAAGAGUAGGAGAAUAUAAUUAUAUUACAAGAUAAAUAAUGAAGGGCUUGAAUUUGAAAAUGAUAAUGAAACAUGGAUUUGGAUAGGAGACUUUAGUGGCUUGAUAGUUUUCUUUUUUUGUUAUAUUAAAAUUUUAAUUUCAUAUUUUGAUAUUAUGAACUUUUUCAUAGUUUGAUAUUAUGAACUUAACAACUACGCAAGUCAUUAAGUUCUUUGAUAGUUGGUAUUUUUAUAGUAUUUUUAAUAUAGUUUUAUUAGGAUUUUUAAUGUUUUUUAAUUACUUUAAUUAGUUUUUAUUUAGUUUUAUUUAUAUUUUUGUGUAAAGCUUUCUUAAAACAUAUUUUACUUGAUCUUGAGGAAUUUUGCAGGAUUUUUAUAGGAAACCAGCUUAAUUCCUAUCUAGGCACUGGGAGAUUCCUAAUUGGGAAGAAAUACAAAGCCUAAACAGUUUUCUAUUUGUAAAGAUUUCUUACUCAAUAAAGAUUCACUUUCCUAAACGAACACGAAAAUAUUCCAGAAAGUCUAUAUAAAUAGAGAGACUAGCCAUAGUCAAGAAAACAAUUCAUUGUAUAUUCCAUCUCUGGUUCUAUUAUUUUUCUACAUAGUUCUCUUUCUCAAAGGCUUCAAGCAUCCAAGAUUUGUGCCAAGAUUCAAGGAAGCCAUCCACGUAUCUCUUGUCUAGUUUUUAUUUCUAAACUCUUAAUCUUGUUUACUUUUCAUUAUUCAUAUUAAUUAUAAAAUUUUAUUCAAGUAUAAUUGAGUUUUAUUUAAUUCCUAUGUUGAACUAAAACUCUCAUACUAGAGAUUUGAUGUAGCUUAAUUUUGAUUCCAAUUUAUAAUAUUAGAUUUGCUUUUCCUUGUUCAAAGUAUAAUUUAUUAUUGCACUUAAUGCUCUAGGUAGAGUUUCUCCCCUAGAUUGAUUUAUUUCAUUAAUCACUAUCGAGAGAAGGGUUUUUGAUAUGAAUAGGGUAAUAAAUUACAUGAGAAUAAUAACUUGAUGCGGAAGUUAUAUAGUUUGACUCAUAGAAGGUUUUUAUAAGUUAAUGACCUUAGGCUAUGAAUUCACAAAACAAAUCACAAAACGUAAUGAUUUAAUUCAUGUUUGAUUGCGCUAUUAGAAGAUAGGACCGGGUUAGAAUAGCUAACAAUACAUUGGGAGAGCUUGUUAGUGAUUUUAGGGUUGUUUCUCCUAAUUGAACAAUUAAAUUGAUUAACGAACUAAUAAAAUAAAUUGGAUAGAGUUAAGUGAAAUCAAAAUCCUUAGCAGUUUUAAAAUCCUUGGUUUCUUUUCAUCUGCAUAUUGUUGCUUGAUUUAUUUCUAUUUUAUUUUUAGAAUUUACUUUUCUUACAAUAAAUCUCUCUUAUCGCUGUUUAAAUAAUAGUAGGUUAACACAAUUUUAGUACUUGAUAUACAAUCCCUAAGAGACGAUACUCUAUUUACUUUAUAUUACUUGCUAUGAUUUCGUAUACUUGCGAAAAAUCACUGUCAUUCUCUUUCAUUUUGUGUUUAGUAAACGAUUUAGAAUUGAAAUUUAAACAAAUACAUUACUUGCAAUUAUAUCUUUUGAUAAAAUUAAUGGAAAUAUAUCCAUAAAUAUAUAUAUGUAUUUUUAUUUUUAAUUAAUUUUGAAAAGUUAUACUGAAUCUUACAAUUCAAUAAUUGAUUCCAAAUAUAAAAAUUUCGAUUCUCGAUUUGACAUCUAUGAACCCGUUUAAAAAUUUUUCUUUAGUACCCGAACCUGUCUUGAGCCUAAUUAUAAUUAACUGUUUAAAUAUUUGAACAUGUUUAAAUAUCCGUUUAGCAUUAAAAAUAUUUUUAUUUUUAUUUUCAAAAAUAAAAAUAAGUAAAAAUUAUAAGGUUAUUAUUUCGACUUAACAAAAAUAUAAUAUAAAAUAUUAAGAAUAAUUAUAGCAUUAAUUAUAAUUGAAAAGAUGCAUAUAUAUAUAUAUAUAUAUAUAUAUAUAUAUAUAUUCUUUGAAAAAAAAAGUUAUUUUAAAUAUUUUUAAAAUAUUAAUUAAACGUGUAAUAGAUAGUGGGUACUCGAGUUCUUGAAUUCGUAUCUGAUAUGGGUAAUAAACCCAUCCCAAACCCGUCUAUUCACUAUCCGAACAUGUCAAAAUUGGGUCGGAUUAAAUCGGGUAAAAUUAUCGAUCGUCAUCCUUACUGUAAACCCUCUAAAAAGUCUCUUCACAUAUAAGUAAUUUUGUUUAAAAAAAAAAGCCAUAUAUUUAUAUGUUUUUUAUCCUAAAAAAAAAAAAAAAUCUAAUCUUAAGUAAUUGAAUUUUUUUUUAGAAAAAUCAAACUAGAAUUUCAUUCGAUAGAAACUGUAUACAUAUAUGGAAUACAGAUCAAUAUGUUUCUAUAUUUUUGUAUAAGAUGUCUAAUAAUAAACCACUUAUACAACAAUAAAAAAACACAAUCUUGAUUUGAAGUAUCUGAUCGAAUUGACAGAAUAUGAUAUUUGUGCCAUAGGCGAUCGCUUGCUCUACUUGGUGGCUAUUCAUGGCCACUGUUCGACUCCCUGGUCUUCUACAUGUCCGAUCUGAUUACCUUCAAAUUUCUUCCUUCUAUUGGAGAGAAGAUCUGUACUUCUUUUUGCAUAGCUAUCCAAAUAAUAAAAGACGCUAGACAAAAUCAUCAUAAUAAUGAUAACAAUAACUCAGAAUUAUAUUUGAGGGCAAAAUUUCAAUAUAUAGGCAAUAAUAAAUUUCAAUAAAUGAACGACAAUAAGUUAGAUCUGUUUACAUAUCUGAGAAUUAUUUGCAAAAAACCAAAUAAAAUAAGGAAAGGGGUGACCACCGUGAGAGCUCACCAGUGGCCGCUCGUGAAAGAAGAGAAGAGAAGAGAAGAGAGAUGAGAGAUUUUAAGUUUUUAGAGGCUUCGUCCAAUAAGUUCUUUCUGUCCAAAAGGAGUCAUUUUGCCAUUGUGUCACUAAGUUAUUGAAUAUCUAAACUACUUUAUUGUUAUAAAAAUUAAUUUUACAAGAUAAAUUAUUAUUAUUAUCUACAGUUAUUACUUUAACUUAGUAAAAUUCAAAACAAUUGACAACAAGCCCAAAAAAUAAAAGAAAAGAGAGAGAGAGAUUUUUCAAUUUUUCAAACAAAAAAUUAUUUUUCAAAUUUUUUAAAAAAAUAUAUAAUUCAUUAAUUAUAAUAUCAAACAUUAUGAAUACUCACAUAAAAUAGAUGCGAAAUUUUAUUAUUAGAAGUUAAUAGAGUUCAUUGAUUUUUUAACAAAUCAAAAUCUAUAUAUUCUUUUCAAUGAUAAAACUAAAAAUAAAAGAUAUAAAUAUUAAAUCCUUCUACUUGAAAAUGAUCUCAAUAAAAAAUAUAAAUUUUUAUGGUAUCAACUAGUCAUUUAAUUAAUUUGAAUGAUAAAAUAAUAACUCUUCUGGAUUUUUCAUACCUGAAUUGUUUUUUCAAAAAUUUUUAACAAAUCAAAAGAAUUCUUUAUAUUCUUUUGAAUAAUAAAAUUAAAAAUAAAAAAAAAGCUAAUAUUAGAUCAUUCUACUUGAAAAUGAUAUUAAUAAAAGAUAUAAAUUUUUAUCGUAACAACUAGUUAUUUAAUUGAUUUGGAUAACAAAAUAAUAACUCUUCUAGAUUUUUUAUAUGUGGAUUGUUUUUCAAGAAUUUGCAACAUAUGACUACACAGACAAGUUCCUACCACUAUUCAUCAGUAAUAUUAAUAGAGGAACAUGCCACACUAACAGGCUCCAUUGAUAAAAGAUCCACAUCUGCAAAUUAAGAUCUAAGAUCUCCAAUUAAAUAAAUCAAACAUCAUACUUUUAUUUAGUAAUAUACUCUCAUAAAGAAGGGACCAAACUCUUACGGAGAAGGGCAAAAAACUCCAAAUAUAAUAAGACAAAACAAUAAUAACAAGGACCAAGAAAAAAACAUAUCUAUUAUAGGAAAAAGAAAUAUAAGUUUUUAAAAGUGAAUAAGAUAUAUUUUCAAAAAAGAAAAAAAAAAGUGAAUAAGAGAUUAGAAGAAAGAAAGAGUAGAAGUUGAAUCAAAAUAAAAAAUAGAAGGUAGGUAUUACUACCGAUCAACAACAACAGUUUCAAACUAAAAUUAAUGUUAGACGAUAGAGUGAAAAAAGAGAAAAUAUUUAUCCAAAUUUACACAUACAAGACAAAGAUAUGACAUAUAUUUUAUCAAAAUUAUAGCAAUUUUAACUCAUAUAUCUCAUAUAUAUGCAUGCUAUACAAGUGAUUAGGGGCAGAGUUAACUCUCUUUUAACAUGGGGAAGCCAAUGGUAUUUUUAAGAUUGGAAAAGAAUAGAGACAACACACAAGAAUUUUUAAGAUUUGCAAACACGUAAACAUGUGUUAAUGGUGACCUUGAGUGACAAAAAAAAUUUUGGUUUGUGUUUGUUCACGCAUUGAAAUAAAUAAACUAAAAAUGAUUUUUUUUUUUUUUGAGUGAAAAUGGAUGAAUAGAAUUAAGAAUCAAAAAUUGCUAACUCAACCAUUAUAAUGAUAUCAAAGGUUGAGGAAUUUCCUCAAUCCAACCUUAUUCAACUUGGUCUAAAAAGGGGAAAAUGGAGUGGUGGAACUAGAAAAAAAAAUAUUAGGAGGGCGAAAAUUUAUUUUCAAAAUUUAAUUUUUGAAAUUGAAAAAUUCACUAUUUUAUAAAUAAAAUGUAAAAUUUUCUAUAUUUUGCAAGUUAAAUUUUUAAAAAUUUUUAAAGUUAGAGGAGGCGAGGGUCACUAUCGACUACUCCCCAAUUUGCCGUUGUAUAUAUGCAAAUUCAUAUUUUAAUUAUAUGCACACCCUAUAAUAAGUAUAAAAUUUUGAAGAAUCAAAUAUAUGAAUAAAGGUUAUUUAUAUUAUUGGUGUUUAAACUUCUCAAUUAUUUCUAAUUUUGUGUUUAAAUAGAAAAUAUUUUCAUUUAAAUGUUUGAAUCACUUUGCUUCUUAUAGUCAAAUGCAUUUGGCGUACAGGAAUCACUAAAUGAUUAAUAAAUCGAUCUAGGUCCACAUCUCAUUCAUAAAACUAGUGAAUUGGAAUUGGGUUCAGUUCUCACUUGGCUCGUGCCUGUAAUUAAUUUGUAAAUUGACAAAUACAACCCUCACUCCCUUCAAUUCAGCAACUCCAAAGGGGUAGCCAUCCUUCUUCACAUUUCAUUAAUAUCAUUCAAACAAAACACCAAUGUUUUUAUAUUUUCCGUUUUCAAAUACUUAUCACAUUUGGAUAUUUCACCUCCUUUAAAGAAAAUUAUUUAAUUUGUUUAAGUUAUAAUAAAUUAUUGAGUGAAUUGAUUAUAUUAUCCUUAGUUUGUUUAAAUUAUAAUAAAUUAUUGAGGAAUUCAACAAUCAUUAUUGGACAAAUACAAAAGUUAAAAAUGAAAAAAUAAUUUAUUGUUUGUGAAAAAUACACAAAUUGACAAAUAUUUUGAAAUAUAGUAUUUUCUCGAAUGUAAAAAAUAUUUAGAAGCCAAUGGAGUAUUAUUUUAAUUUCCAUUUUACUCGAUGCCAACCAAUAAAUAUUUCAAUGUUUUAUUAUUCGAUAAAUAGUAUUCUUCCACCUCCGUUUAAUUGUUAAGUAAGAGAUUAAUCUAUUUAUACAUUUUUAAUUGAAUUUGAUUUAAUUAAUUUGCUCUUAGGGCUAGAUUCUCAACAUUAAUCCCACAACAUGAACGUUGGUGACAAGCCAUGUAACAUGAGAUUUUACUGCUCUUGAACAAAAUAAUACUUGGGUUAUUACUGAUCUCCCACUUGGGAAAAGUGCUCUAGGAUGCAAUUGAAUCUUCAAAAUCAAAUAUAAUCCUAAUGGUUCAAUAGAAAGGUAUAAAGCUUAUUUUUUAACCAAACGUUAAAAAACAAAGGGCAUCGACUACUCUAAGUCAUUCUGCCUUGUUAAAAUUACAACAAUCUACUUAUUAUCGGCCUUUGCUGCUGCUCAUAAUUGGCAUCUUUACCAACUUGAUGUUGGCAAUCUUUUCUUUAUAGAGAUAACCAUAAAGAAGUUUACAUAGUCUUACCUCGAGGCUAUUCCGCUACUGUUACAAAACCUAAUCAAGUUUGUCAUCUUCAAAAGCCUCUUUAUGGCCUUAAACAAGCAAGCUGAUAGUUGUUUUCCAGUACUCCAUUGCACUUAUUUUGCUUAAUUAUAUGGGUAUUGAUAGAGAGGUGCUGUCUUUUGCAUGAUAUAUGAUGCGAUGAGUCAACUAUUUCGCGGUAGCUUGUCUAUUGGCAGAACUUACUUCAUUUGGGAGGCAAUUUCUAAAUUUUCUAUUCUUUUUGGUUUUUUCAAAUCUUUUCUGCUAUUUAAUUGCAUUGUAUUAUUCUAAGUCAAGCAUGGGCAUACAAGCAUCUUUCUUUUACUAAUCCCACUUUGAGAGCAUCAUGACUGGAUUUAUUUCCAAUGGGACUUCAUUGGCGUGGCACUAAUGUAACUAUCAACAAUUUGAGAUUUCAAUUUAGAGUUACCAGUAUUGAGAUCAUUUCAUUUGAAUAUCGACUUGAACACAGAAACACGGAAAUACGUGUAAAUUUUUUUUUUGUUAAAAAAACUUAAAGUGCAGAAGUUUGGCGCGAUCCUCUUGUCCAUAUUCAAGUUAUUCUUUUUCAUGUUAAUAAAAGUGUUGGCCCAUUAAUUGAAAGCACUUGUACUGGAGUUGAAAAAUCAAUCUUUACAAGUCUUGCUGGGAUUCAACAAAAUGACAACAGAAUGACAUUAUAAAUGGUCUUGUCGCUAAAUUCCAUUGCUAAACCGUUAGUAUGUUGCAUGCUACUUUAUCACGCAAAUUAGCAUUGGAUUAAUAACAGAUUUAUCCAUAAUAUUCCCUGCAUAUUCCUGUUAAAUUGUUGCCUAUUAGUUGCUAAAAUACAUAUAUAUAUAUAUAUGAAAGUUGAAUAGUUAAUAAUAAUUAUAAAAAUUCACUACGUUAUAAAAAUAUAAAAUUAAAGUGCAUCAGCCAUAGUUUAUUAUAUAAUAAAUGUUAAAAUUACAGUGCAUAAACUUUAAUUGACUGCACCACCCGAGUUGGAGGCCUAAUGGUAAAAACAUUGAUAUUCGCCUGCUUGAUAUAGAUUCGAUCCUUCGUAACAGUUCUCACACAUAAAGUCUAACUUGGCAAAAAAUAAAUAUUCAGUCUCUUCGUCUUCUUGAUUAUUUUCACUCUCUAUCAUCUCGUCGUGUUUAUAUUGAGCAAAAAAUUCAUCAUUUAUCAUGAAAUUGUUCACGCAAAAGAAUAAUAAUUAUAUCUCUCUACACAUUAAUAGGUUGUGGAUAUAUUUUUUCCAAUAUUAGAAAUCUUGGUUUCAAAAUGUUCAAUAACAUUCUUAAAUUUAGCAAGGGUGUAGUUAAAAUUUUCUUUUGUAAUAAUAGCAUGCAUAAGAGGAUAUAGAUCGUAUUUUCCUAUAAUUCACAUGUAUUUGUAUAGAUCGUAUUUUCCUAUAAUUUCAUAAACAUAAAAUUAUUAAUAAUUUUAUUAGCAAUUAACAAUUUAUCAAUAUUGAGAGAGUAUUAACUAAAUAUCAUUACGUCACGAUUCUGAACAUAAAAACACGUGUAAAGAUUAAGAAAAGAAAAGAUCAAAGAGUUUGGCAGGAUCCUCCUCUCUAUAUUCAAGCUAUUCUUUUUCAUCUUAAUAAAGCAGUGGUAUUGAAAGUAAUUGAAAGCGCUUGCAUUGGAGUUGAAAAAUCAAUGCUUACAAAUCUUGUUCGCCAUUCAACAAUAUGACAUUAUGACUGAUGUUAUAAAUUAUAAAUUUAACAUAAAAUUUUUUGAGAAGUACAAUCAUAAUCUCUAAUAAGAUUAGUUCUAAAUCUAAAACUAAUGAUAUAAGUCGAUUAUUCAAUCGUAACAAAAAAUAAUUUAUGCAAAUUGUGAGAUCUUAUGUGCUUAUUUAUACAUAUUUAAACUAAAUAAAUCUAUAUAAAAAAUAACUAAAUUUGUUUUUAUAUAUAAGAACUAAUUAAUUAAAAUAACCAGCUAAAACUAUGUAAAAACUACUGCAAUUAAGGUUUGAUCUUAUGUCAAUUAACCUGAGCAAUAACAACGAUACCACCAAACUAAUAAAUUUACAAUAAACAUUUGCACAUUAUAAAAUAAAUUUUCAAAUUCGGGGGGGCUGGUGAGUAAAUGAAACCGAGCACAAAAACAAGAAAAUACCCGCGAGGUAUUCCUUUUCUCUCUCUUCGUCUUCAAGAAGCCUCUCCUCUGCAAUCACCGCACAAGAGGUGUUAGUUUUUCUUUUAUUUAUUUAUUUAUUUAUUUUUUACAGAAUCUAAAGGAAGAAGAUAAUGGUGAGAUUUUAAGACAUUGGGGGAUAGAGAUUGGACAAUAGUUGGGAAUUUUAUAGGUCCUGGCCUCAAAAUUGACUUUUAAAAAUAUUCUUAUAUGUUAACUAGGCCAAAACUUGAGCUCAAGUUUUGUUCUUCUUUUAUAAAAUUGAACCUAUUAUCCUAUUACACUGUAUAUAUAUCAAACUACAUAACCGUACCCCACCAUAAUAUUGUUCUUGAUUUUUAGAAAUCAAUGCUUCCCGAAAGUAUUUGAUCUGCUUGAUUAAUCCAAUUCAAUAUCAUAAUUGAUAAGCGGAAAAUUAGACUAUACAAGCGCAAGAAACUUUAAGUUUCUGUAAUAUUAUAAGUUAACCACUCCGAUCAAUAUUCAGACAAUAUAAUCUUUUCAAAAAAAAAAAAAAUAUUCAGACAAUAUAAAAAGAGAAAAAGGUUAAUUAGUUUUCAGAAAACAGCAAUAAAAAAGAAUAACAACGCGGCCAUGGCAAAAGCAAAGCUGAGUAGCAGAGAGAAAAGAUGGUCUCUCAAGGGAAACACUUCUCUCGUUAUAGGAGGAACCAAAGGCAUAGGGUAAAGCUUAUUUACUUAAUCGUUUAUUUUCCUCUCUUCUUUCAUUCCAUGCUUAUAUUAGUUUUCUUUGGAGUUCAGACAUGCUAUAGUAGAAGAAUUAGCAGAAUUUGGGGCAGCUGUGCACACUGUUCUCGCAGCCAAAAAGAGCUUGAUGGGUGUUUACAAGAAUGGCAAACCAAAGGUUUCAAAGUAACUGGAUCUGUAUGCGGCGUAUCAAUUCGAGACCAGAGGGAAAAACUUAUAGGCUGUUUCCUCCAUCUUUCAUGAAAAGCUCAACAUUCUUGUAAGUUUUCUUUUUUCUUUCUUAUGUUUCUUUCUUAAUGGUUCAACCGAGGGCAUUCAAGCGUGUGUCUGUUUAAUAGUCCACAUAACCUGAAUAUUCCAUGUUCGCUCCGAGAGGCAUGGGAGCUGGCCUAUGGAGAAAUUAAUAUUUAAAAAGAAUUAUUUUAACUGAAAUUGAAACUCACAAUCUUACAUCUGCUUAAUUAGGUUAACAACGCUGGGACACAUAGAUUUAAAGAAGCCUUAAAGGAUACUGCUGAAGACAUUUCGACGGUUAUGAGUACAAAUUGUGAGUCUGCAUAUCAUCUAAGUCAGCUUUCGCAUCCUCUCUUAAAGGUAUGAUUGCUUUCCCUUCCAUUGCAAAUAUCUCUUCCAUUGCAAGCAUCAUUGCUUUUCCUUUUUGUGCUGUCUAUGCAGCAUCCAAAGAUAUGAUUUUAUGCUUCUUUUCCCCUUUUACUUUCAAUAUGGCAAACUGACACUAUUGUUAGGACUGCGUAGCAUGUCCUAUUAAUAACCUUUUGAAUUGACAAAAAUUAAUUAUACAUAUGAUUAGUGUAUACUUUUCUUUUUUUUAAUAGAUAUGAUUAAUAAGAAUAUUUUAAUUACAGUGUAAAAAUAUAACUUCAGAGCAUUCCCUUUCCAAGUAAAUUUCGCUAUGUUAUCCAUACCAAAUGAAAAAAAAAAAGAAAAAAAAUAUAAAACAUUAAGCUUAAAAUAUAGAGUUAUUUUAUUUAUUUGCAAUUAAAGAUGUUGGUUUUAUUUUUUGAAGAAAAUGAAAUCAUAUUUCAUUAAAUUAGAAAGAAAUACGUAUCUAAGAUGUAGUCAUACAUAUCAAUAAAUUAAUAUAUUUUUGCAUAAAUAACUUAAAUAUUAAACAGUUAUAGAAAAACAAUUAGUUCGAUUUAAGGGAUACAGAAAACAAUAAUCAUUUGAGGGAUACAUGUAGAAAUGUUGAUUUGAUUAAUUGGAAAAAUGGACGAUUUGCAGGAGCAAUGGAGCAAAUUACAAAAAAUUUGGCAUGUUAGUGGGCAGAGGACAAUAUUCGAGUUAAUGCAACUGUACCAGGAUUUAUUCAUACCCCUCUCGCAAAUUAUGCACAGUUUUUUUCAAUUUCAAUAUAUAUAUAGUAUAGACAAUAGUUAUUAAGUAUUUAAAUGAAUAAAAAAAAUCAAUUUUUUUUCUCAAUUUUGAUUAAUCAAAUCACAAACUAUUUUACAUGUAUAAAUAUUGAAUUAAUUAACAUCGUCCUCUUUUACAUGAAUCUACAUUGAUUUCACUCGUCGCAUUCCCCUCUCUCGAGGAGGAAACCCUAAUGAGGCAUCAUCAGUACUGGUAUUCCUUUGUUUACCUGCUUCUUCAUAUAUCCCUGGCCAAGUUAUAAUUGUGGAUGGAGGACACACUGUGAAUGGCUUCUAAGUUUUACCCAAAUAAUAAAAACUAAAUAAAUGUUUUGUGGUGUCCUAAAUUAGACUAUAUAUAAUUUAAUAGUUGAUUUUAUUUAUAUAAAGUUCCAAUUUGUAGGAAAAUCAGAUAUAUCUAUGUAGUAUCUUUAUUCCCUUAUGGGGAUAAUGAGAAAAUAAAUAAUAAUAAUGAUAAUAAAUUAUUUUUUAUAAUUUUAUUACAAACUUUCAAUUUCGAAAAUUUUUUGCAUAGAAUUUAAAAUUUUCAUAAUAUUAUUGUGAAGUUACCUUUAGUAUAUUAUGUUCUUUACCAUGAGCUGCUGUUCUAGGAAACAGUAGAUAGUGCCAAAGGUGUUUGUCAAAAUUUUCUUUGAUUUCAAUUGAUGGAAAACAAAAAUACAAUGGAAGCCAUAAGAUCUCGCAUAUAUAUAAUACACAGGCAAACCACAGAGCUACAGAAAAUAUAAAAUCGAAGUUAUGAAAUCAUAAAUACCUCUUAAGCGAAAGAAAUCAACACUGAUUUCGAUUUUUCUUCCAUGCAAUAGCUUAUGUGCUAACAGCUUCUGCUCUACCGAAAACACACUAGUUUUCUCUGCAAUCUCCUGUUAUGUGACCUAAGCUAUUUCUUUAGAACUGUUUGUGUGGACAGACGACUAUUGAGAGAGGAAAAAUGAAAUAUGGGAGACUGACGUCUACGUUUAGUCUAAACGUCUCUUAUAUAUUUUCCUAAAAUUAACAUUAACAAAAACGAUAUAUAUAUAUAUAUAUAUAUAUAUAUAUAUAGGAGAAAAAUAAAUAAAGUGUUUACAUACACUCACAACCCUCUAUCCAAGAAUACCCGAAAAAUUAAGCUUAAUUUUUCUUCUUGGAUAAUCUCUCUAUUUUUCUCUCUUACAAUUGCUCUCUCACAAUUGCACUCUCAUUUACUAAUCUACAUUUUUGCUGUGUAUUUGUGAGCUGCUAACUUUUCCUAUUUAUAGGAGAAGAGGAUGUCUAAAAUUCUGCGUCCACUGCCUAACUUUCUGAACCUGUGUGCUUCUUUUCCUUUGCAACCCACCAAUAUUCUGCGUCCACUGCCUAACUUUCCAAAGUCGUGUGCUUCUUUUCCUUUGCAACCCACCAAUUUAAAAUUUCUUCUGAUUCAAGUGGGCACACCACAACUUAACUUUGACAAUCUCCCACUUGAAGACUGAUUUCAAUCUGUCUUCACACAUCAAUCAUGUGGUAAUCUUCUCAGGUCUAUUAUUCUUACAGGUCAACUGAAAUUGAGCACAACUUCAGUUUGUCAAUGGUCACCACCUUUGUUAACAUGUCAGCUGGAUUCUUUGUCAAAUGUAUUGCACUCUGACUAUCACUAUACAAAACAUUCUUUUCCUGCAUGAAUCUCAACUCUGUCAGCAAGCCUUGAAGCCAUAUCAUCUCUUUGUUGGCUUCUGUCACUGCGACAUACUCGGCUUCUGUCGUGGAUAGAGCUACAAUCGUUUGUACCUGUGAUAUCCAACAACAGUUGUAGUACCAACAGUGAAAAUAAAACCUGUGGUGCUUCUUCGGUGAUCAACGUCACCUCUAUAGUCCGCAUCUACAUAACCUUGUACUUUUAGUUCUCCUUUACCAAAGUACAAACUCUUCUCAGUAGUGCCUCGUAAAUGCCUCAAAAUCCACUUUACUGCUUCCCAAUGAGCUUUCCCUGGAUUUGACAUAUACUUGCUAACAACUCCCACUGCAUGGCCAAUAUCUGGUCUCGUACAGCCCAUCGCAUAAAUCAAACUUCCUAUGGCUGAAGCAUAAGGCAUUUUGGCCAUGUCUUUUCUCUCUUCUUCUGUCUGAGGGGACUGGUCCUUAGAUAGGCGAAAAUGGCUAGCCAAGGGUGUGCUGAUCGGCCUAUCUUCGUGCAUGUUGAAUCUUUGCAAUACACGAUUGAUGUUCUCCGCCUGAGAUAACUGCAACACCUGUUUUUGCUUAUCUCUCGUGAUUUGCAUUCCAAGAAUCUUUUUCGCUGGACCCAAGUCCUUCAUGUCAAAUUCUUUUGACAAUCGCUUCUUNNNNNNNNNNNNNNNNNNNNNNNNNNNNNNNNNNNNNNNNNNNNNNNNNNNNNNNNNNNNNNNNNNNNNNNNNNNNNNNNNNNNNNNNNNNNNNNNNNNNNNNNNNNNNNNNNNNNNNNNNNNNNNNNNNNNNNNNNNNNNNNNNNNNNNNNNNNNNNNNNNNNNNNNNNNNNNNNNNNNNNNNNNNNNNNNNNNNNNNNNNNNNNNNNNNNNNNNNNNNNNNNAAGAAUCCUUCUAGUUGGUACAUGUAUAUCUCCUUAUCCAAGUCUCAGUGAAGAAACGCCGUCUUUACGUCCAACUGCUCAAGGUAGAGCCCUUCACUGGCAACAAUACUCAACACAGACCUGAUAGUAUUGAGUUUUACAACUGGUGCAAAUAUGUCGGUGUAGUCAACUCCUUCCUUCUGCUGGAACCCUUUGACUACCAGUCGAGCUUUGUAUCUCUUGGAACCAUCAUGUUACUUUGAGUCGCCUGGCAUCUGGACUUUCUGAGAUAUCAUUCACCUCUGCAAACACUAGCCCACUCUGCUCUGAGUCGCUGGACACUGGACUUUCUAAGAUAUCGUCCACAUCUGCAAACACUGGCCCACUCUGCUCUGAGUUGCUGGCCACAGGACUUUCUGAGAUAUCAUCCACCUCUACAAACACUGGCCCACUCUGCUCUGAGUCGCUGGCCACUUUGCUAUGUUUAUCAUCCACCUCUGCAAACACUGGCCCACUCUGCUCUGAGUCGCUGGCCACUUUGCUAUGUUUAUCAUCCACCUCUGCAAACACUGGCCCACUCUGCUCUGAGUCGCUGGCCACUUUGCUAUGUUUAUCAUCCACCUCUGCAAACACUGGCCCACUCUGCUCUGAGUCGCUGGCCACUGGACUUUCUGAGAUAUCGUCCACCUCUGCAAACACUGGCUCACUCUGCUCUAAGUCGCUAGCAACUGGACUUUCUGAUAUAUCGUCCACCUCUAAAAACACUCAAAGUGUCUUCGGAGAGUUUCGCAUGCAUCAGUAUAGCUUUCGGUCUUUAGCUACCACAAAUGGACCUUUUGUGAGCUUGUACUGACCAUUUCUGAAGGUGCUACAGAAACCUUCAUCAUCAAAUCUGCUAACCGAGAUUUGGACGCAUGCUCGAAAGCCCAUUCCUCAUCAGUCUUGUCUUCCGAUUUAGUUCAACUAAACACAGGCAAAUACAUUUUUAUUACCAUAAGGAGAUAUCUCAUUUCUCCAUAUAUGGUAAAUUUCGCCAUUUAGACUGAUCAUUUUGCUUGUCCAUUUUGACUUGCACAGAAAAUCAUCACCAACAUAAACCGUAUACGUGAACAGUAGUAUACAUAAAUAGUGACCAUAAAUAGUAACAGCCUACUCGAAUAGUAACUGUACGUGAAUAAUAACUGUACACGUGAAUAGUACUAUGCGUGAAAAUAGUGUUGGGCUUACUUGAAACGGGCUCAGCAGUAAUGCCAAUAGUACUGUUCACCACCAACUUUGCGUUACUAAUUUACUAUUCAUCACUAAGUCGAUUCUGCAACGACUUUCCGAGCGAACAACACCAAUAGACUCGUCGUAAUUUUCUCGUCGUCGUGGUAUAUUUAUUUUCAAAGUAUAUCCACGGAUCCGGUACCGCUAUCUGACCGGCUGGACCUACCGAAACCUUUGGCUCUGAUACCAGUUGUUAGGCAUCAGCUCUGAUACCAGUUGUUGGGGAAAAAUUACGCAAAAUCCCCGAUAAGCCAAACGAGGGAGCAAAAGAAAAUAAUAACACACACAAUUUGAUAACGGAGUUCGGCCAAUCUUACUUACGUCUCCGGACUGCUGCAGAUCUUUUAUAGGAGAAAAAUAAAUAAAGUGUUUACAUAUCCUCCCACCCCUCUAUCCAAGAAUACCUGAAAAAUUAGGCUUAAUUUUUCUUCUUGGAUAAUCUCUCUAUUUUUCUCUCUUACAAUUGCACUCUCAUUUACUGAUCUACAUUUUUGCUGUGUAUUUGUGAGCUGCUAACUUUUCCUAUUGAUAGGAGAAGAGGAUGUGUAAAAAUCUGCGGCCACUGCCUAACUUUCCAAAGCCGUCUGCUUCUUUUCCUUUGCAACCCACCAAUAUUCUGCGUCUACUGCCUAACUUUCUAUAGCCGUGUGCUUCUUUUCCUUGGAAACCCACCAAUUUAAAAUUUCUUCUGAUUUAAGUGGGUAUACCACAACCUAACUUUGACAUGACAAUCUUAACAUCAAUCAUUUCCUAAAUUAGACGAUAUAGGAUCCCUAAAAUUAUGUUAAAUUGUUUAUAAAUUAUCUAUAAGAUAAGAGUUGUAGUGCUUAUCCAUUGUCGAUGAGAUAGAGAGCUUGUGACAAUCAAUUGUGCGUUCUAAUUAAACUUCUAGAAAUAUCUGUUUAAUGCCAGUGUCGGUGGCUUAGUGCGCUGUAUAUAGGCCGAUCUUGAACCAAUUACUGUAGGCCGAAUUAGUGGCAAGUCAAUAAUCUGACAAAAAAAAGAAAAAAAAAAAAGAAAAAGACGCAAAGGCCAAAAUUGAAAUAAUAAAAAAAAUAUUAUAACCACUUCAAUCAAGAUUCUCUUUAAAAAAGAAAAGAAAAGAAAAUAUCAAUCAGUUAUUGAAGAAGAAAGACAUGGCAAAAGCAGAAAUGAAUAGCAGAGGGAAAAGAUGGUCUCUCGAGGGAAAGACUGCUCUUGUCACUGGAGGAACCAAAGGCAUAGGGUAUUUCUAAUUUACUUAUUCUUUCAUUUUCCUCUCUUCUUUCAUUUCAUGCUUAUAUUAGUUUCCUUUGGAGUACUUUAGACAUGCCAUUGUUGAAGAAUUAGCAGAAUUUGGGGCAGUUGUGCACACAUGUUCUCGCAACCAAAAAGAGCUUGAUCAGUGUUUACAAGAAUGGCAAAGCAAAGGCUUCAAAGUAACUGGAUCUGUAUGCGACGUAUCAAAUCGAACCCAAAGGGAAAAGCUUAUAGAUGUAGUUUCCUCCAUCUUUGAUGGAAAGCUUAACAUUCUUGUAAGUUUUCUUCUUUUUUUCUUUCUGAUGUUUCUCUUUUAAUGGUUUAACCAAGUGGAUAAGUUUUCUUGUUCCGUCUCAAUCUCAUUUUUUAAAUAAAUAAUUUUUCGAUAUAUUAAUUUUUUUUCCGCAGUUAUGUGGAUUUUUAUUGAAAUAUUAAAAAGAGCCAUUUUAAUUAAAAUUGGAAAUUGGAACUGACAGUCCUACAUAUGCUUAAUUAGGUCAACAACGCAGGGACAUGUAAAUUUAAAGAAGCCUUAAAGGAUACUGCUGAAGACAUUUCGACCAUUAUGAGUACCAAUUUUGAGUCAGCAUAUCAUCUAAGUCAGCUUUCGCAUCCUCUCUUAAAGGCAUCAGAAUAUGGAAAUAUUGUAAAUAUCUCUUCCAUUACAAGCAUUGUUGCUUUGCCUCUUUGCACUAUCUAUGCAGCAUCCAAAGGUAUGAUAUUAUGCUUCUUUUGCCCUUUUACUUAUACAUGAUACAUAAUAAUAUAAUUAUGUCUUUCGGCCAUAACUUUAUAUUAUAGCAGUAAUUAUUGAUAAAAUUUUACCAUAUAAUAAAUAUUUAUUACUAAUAGCUAUCAGCUACUGGCCACCACAUAUUAAUUAUUAGCUAACACAAACUGAUCUUCAGUACUUAUUGAAAAUUUUGUUAAAAUUGAUCUAUUUGCUAUUUAAAAAACAUAACAGUAAGCUUGUCGUACGCAGUUAACUAUUUGCUGUUCACUUGAUUAAUUGAUAAGAUGGAUGAUUUGCAGGAGCGAUGCAGCAAAUUACAAAAAAUUUGGCAUGUGAAUGGGCAAAUGACAUGAUUCGAGUUAAUGCAGUUUUACCAGGACUUACAGAUACCCCCCUCUUAGAUCUUGCAAAGGUUUUUCUAUUAAUCAGUUUUUAAUAAUUAAAUAUUUAAAAGAUGAAAAAGCAAAUUUUUACUCAAUUGUGAUUAAUGAAAGUGAAAUAGUUUUGACAUAUGAAUAUUGAAUCAGUUAAUAUUUUUCUCUUUUAUAGAAAAGUUGGGAUAAUCCUGAAGUUGAGGAGAGGAACCAAAGGCAUAGGGUAUUUCUAAUUUACUUAUUCUUUCAUUUUCCUCUCUUCUUUCAUUUCAUGCUUAUAUUAGUUUCCUUUGGAGUACUUUAGACAUGCCAUUGUUGAAGAAUUAGCAGAAUUUGGGGCAGUUGUGCACACAUGUUCUCGCAACCAAAAAGAGCUUGAUCAGUGUUUACAAGAAUGGCAAAGCAAAGGCUUCAAAGUAACUGGAUCUGUAUGCGACGUAUCAAAUCGAACCCAAAGGGAAAAGCUUAUAGAUGUAGUUUCCUCCAUCUUUGAUGGAAAGCUUAACAUUCUUGUAAGUUUUCUUCUUUUUUUCUUUCUGAUGUUUCUCUUUUAAUGGUUUAACCAAGUGGAUAAGUUUUCUUGUUCCGUCUCAAUCUCAUUUUUUAAAUAAAUAAUUUUUCGAUAUAUUAAUUUUUUUUCCGCAGUUAUGUGGAUUUUUAUUGAAAUAUUAAAAAGCGCCAUUUUAAUUAAAAUUGGAAAUUGGAACUGACAGUCCUACAUAUGCUUAAUUAGGUCAACAACGCAGGGAGAAAUACAUUUAAAGAAGCCUUAAAGGAUACUGCUGAAGACAUUUCGACCAUUAUGAGUACCAAUUUUGAGUCAGCAUAUCAUCUAAGUCAGCUUUCGCAUCCUCUCUUAAAGGCAUCAGAAUAUGGAAAUAUUGUAAAUAUCUCUUCCAUUACAAGCAUUGUUGCUUUGCCUCUUUGCACUAUCUAUGCAGCAUCCAAAGGUAUGAUAUUAUGCUUCUUUUGCCCUUUUACUUAUACAUGAUACAUAAUAAUAUAAUUAUGUCUUUCGGCCAUAACUUUAUAUUAUAGCAGUAAUUAUUGAUAAAAUUUUACCAUAUAAUAAAUAUUUAUUACUAAUAGCUAUCAGCUACUGAUCUUUAGUUUUACUUAUUGAAAAUUUUGUUAAAAUUGAUCUAUUUGCUAUUUAAAAAACAUAACAGUAAGCUUGUCGUACGCAGUUAACUAUUUGCUGUUCACUUGAUUAAUUGAUAAGAUGGAUGAUUUGCAGGAGCGAUGCAGCAAAUUACAAAAAAUUUGGCAUGUGAAUGGGCAAAUGACAUGAUUCGAGUUAAUGCAGUUUUACCAGGAUUUACAGAUACCCCUCUCUUAGAUUUUGCAAAGGUUUUUCUAUUAAACAGUUUUUAAUAAUUAAAUAUUUAAAAGAUAAAAAAAGCAAAUUUUUUCUCAUUUGUGAUUAAUCAAAGUGAAAUAGUUUUACAUAUGAAUAUUGAAUCAGUUAAUAUUUUGCUCUUUUAUAGAAAAGUUGGGAUAAUCCUGAAGUUGAGGAGCAAAUGACUCGUAGUAUCCCUCUCUCUCGAGAAGGAAAACCUGAAGAGAUAGCAUCAGUGGUGACAUUCCUUUGUUUACCUGCUUCUGCAUAUAUCACUGGCCAAAUUAUAAUUGCUGAUGGAGGAUGUACUGUGAGUCGCUUCUAAAUUUUUCCCAAAUAAUAAAAACAAAAUAGUAAUUAUUUUUGUUGUAUUCUGAAUUAGACAAUAUCUAUUUUAGUAAUUAAAAACAUUUAAAUAAAGUUUCAAUCUGUGGAGAAACCAUAUGUAACGUGCUAAUCUAUUACUAGAAGUGUUAAUUUAAAUUGGAAUUAUGCAUCUUUUGUGAUGGAAUCAACUUGGCUUGCUUUUUCAUGCACAAGAAGAAAACAAUUGGAAUUUUAGGUUAGACAAGCACAUUUACCACCAGUAUGUUUCAGGCUUGCUACUGUAUUUUUAUCUAUUCAAUGUCUAGUUUGGUACUUUUAUUUUUUUUAAAAAAUAUUCUAUUCACAAAUUACUAUUUUAUUAAUAGAAAAUUCAUUCGAUUAAUACAUGUAAACUAUAUUUUGGGAUAUAUUUAAAAUAAUUUUAUAAGUAUAGUAGGAGAACAAAAUUAUCCUAAAGCUAUUGCGCUCUUAAAUUUAUUUUUAUUUUUUAAUAUUAGAGAAUUUUGUAAGAAAAAUAUAUAAUUCACAUUUUUGUUUGUUUGCUCAUUUUUUGCUAUAAAAAUAUUGAAUCCACAAUAAGAUAAAAUAAUUUUUAUGCUUCUAAAUUUCUCAAAUUUUAUUUAUUAAGUGAUAUAAAUUUUUAAUAAUUUAUCAAUUACCUUCAUAAAUUGCUCAUGAAUCUUUUAAUUCUAGUAAAAAAAAAUUCUUAAAGUGAAAAAAAAAUUAAAAUGGUCAAUAGAACAAUUUUUUUUUUUUUUUUUUUGUAAUCAUAUUCAUAUAUAUUGUUGCAACACAAUAAAGGAAUAAAAUCAACCAUUAAUAGUUUUCUACUUAUUAAUAACUAUCAUAUUAAUAGUUUUGCAUCUUUAAUAGCCAAAAUCCAUUUGCAGGGAUAGAAUGUUUAGAACAGAAGCGUCUAGAGAAGGUAAAAAUUGAAUAAAAUAAAAUGAUGAUGGUUUAAAAGACAAUUCACUGUUCGUAUUGUAUUUACCAGUGAAAUGAAUUUUACCGAUCAAUUUGUAUUUACCAUAUUGCUUUACUUUAUUUAUUUUUCUAGAUUAUUACCUUUCUUAUUUUCUUUCUUUUUAUUGAGUAAAUAAAUUUAUUAAGUAAAAUAAUUCAACCAACUACACUUGACUGUAAUUCUUUAAUUAAGACAGUCAAUUACUCAUCCGUUUUGAAAAGAUAGUCCUUUUUUCAUACAGAUUAAAAAAUAUAAAUUAUUAUGAUUAACAGAUAAUUUUAUUACCAUAAAUUUUUUAUUAUAUCCAUUUUUUUUUAAAGGACCAAUUAUACCUAUCUUAAAUACUAAAAACCAUAUUAAUAAUAUAAAAUGGAAAAUAUAAAUUGCAAUUAUUGAGAAUAACUAACAUCGAUAAUCUUUUAAAAUUCAAGAGGAAAAAAAAAUAGAAAAACAAAACUACUUAUUAAAUAAUAUACGAAUUUAAAGGGAAAUGACUUACGAAAAAUAAUAAAUUAACUGGGAUUACUAAAAAUAAGAUAAAACUUAAUAAGGAUAUAAUAAAUAAUUUAACUAUAUAUAGAAAAAGUAAGUGGAUUAUAAUUUGGGAUAGACCAAAAUUGAAAGAUAGAUUAUCUUUUUAGGCAAAGGAGUAUGAAUUAUUUCUCUUGAAAUACUAAAAAUAAGAAAAUUAAAAAGUUUAAAUACUACAAAUGUAAUUAACUUUUUUAUUUUUAAUUAAGGCCAAUACAGCUUUCGUUUUUUAAAAUCAUGUGAGAGUCGUAUGAAUCCACUCCUUAGCUUUGUAGAAUAAACUUUCUGCUUUCAUUUUCAAAAUUGAAAAAAAACGAAAAACAAGUGGAGAAUCUGAUUUUCUGAUUAGGCUGUUAUUCUGAUUAGGCUGUUACUACUGUACAGAUAGUUUAUUCUGUAUUGAUACAGAAUCUUCAUUAAUUGACACAUGCAUUAAAGAAAACUAUUGUAAUAGGUUACUCAACUUGUUGCUCUAUUCUUUAUCUAUAUGUUUCCUAACUUUAUCUUUUCUUUAUCCAUAUCUAUUUUCUAUCCUAUAACAUAUUAUAUAAAAUAUUAUCUAACGAUAAAUAUAAAAUUAUCUAGAAAAAAAUUAGAAUUCAAAUUCAUGCACAUAAAAUUUUUCUUCUAGUGUUAUUAAUUUUUUUUAAAAUAAAAUUAUUGCUUAUCAUUUGAAAUCGUGUAUAUAAAAUAUCAUAUAUUUUUCUUCAUAUUUCUUGCGCUAUGCAAGCUGUUUUUCCUGCAAUUGCAUGAGCGCAUUAAUGUUAACUUCUCAUCUCUCCUCUAUAAAGCACGGUUUGUAAAUUCUCUUUCUUGUGGGUAAUGAAGACUUGAUUGACGAUGCUCUGCAGUGAAAGCUGAGGAGGAACCAUGAAUAUCCUUUGCUGGAAUUGUCGAGGACUAGGUAACCAUCGAGCAGUUAAUGCUCUCCAUGAACUUAUUCGAUGCCAUAAGCCGACGGUCAUUUUUAUGUCUGAAACCUUAGUUACUUCGAGUAAAAUUGAGCAGCUCCGAUAUAGCCUUCAUUAUGACUGCUGUUUUGCUGUGGACGCGGUGGGGCACAGUGGUGGUUUAGCUAUUUUAUGGAAUACUCAGAUAAAUUUAGAAGUUAUGCGUUAUUGUUCGCAUUUUAUUGAUAUGAAAAUAACAGAAGCUGCAGGUUUUACAUGGCGCCUCACGGGUUUUUAUCGCAUGCCGGAACGACACCGUAGGCAAAUUUCAUGGAAUGUCCUCCGUUCUCUAGCUCGGCUGACAAAUCUUCCCUGGCUAAUUUGUGGAGACUUUAAUGACCUAAUGUUCGCUGAAGAAAAGAAAGGGCGUAAUCCUCAUCCUCCAUGUUUAUUACAGGGUUUCUCGAAUACUGUGGCUGACUGUGGUCUGAUUGACUUGGGAAUGUCGGGAUAUCCUUUUACUUGGGCUCAUGGUAGAGGUCAACAUCGGAUAGAGGAAUGAUUGGACAGAGCUUUGGGAAAUAUCAUUUGGCAGAACCACUUUCCUAAUUAUCAGGUCCAGAAUUUAGUCUCGAGUAAGUCCGAUCACUCUCCUCUUCUUAUUCUUACUGCCCCUAGUAUAAAAAAUAUGAGGCAUCAUCGCUUUCGGUUUGAGAAUUUUUGGUUAGAGGAAUCUGAUGUGGACACUGUGGUUAGAGAGAGUUGGACCAGUUAUGACGGUGUUGAUGCAACGGGGAAGAUAAAGGUUUGUGGACAUCAUCUACAGAACUGGGGCAGGAGACUAAAGCUUCGAUUCAGACAGGAAGCCAAGCAGUUGACAGUGCAGCUUGAGAAUCUUCGGAUCAANNNNNNNNNNNNNNNNNNNNNNNNNNNNNNNNNNNNNNNNNNNNNNNNNNNNNNNNNNNNNNNNNNNNNNNNNNNNNNNNNNNNNNNNNNNNNNNNNNNNNNNNNNNNNNNNNNNNNNNNNNNNNNNNNNNNNNNNNNNNNNNNNNNNNNNNNNNNNNNNNNNNNNNNNNNNNNNNNNNNNNNNNNNNNNNNNNNNNNNNNNNNNNNNNNNNNNNNNNNNNNNNNNNNNNNNNNNNNNNNNNNNNNNNNNNNNNNNNNNNNNNNNNNNNNNNNNNNNNNNNNNNNNNNNNNNNNNNNNNNNNNNNNNNNNNNNNNNNNNNNNNNNNNNNNNNNNNNNNNNNNNNNNNNNNNNNNNNNNNNNNNNNNNNNNNNNNNNNNNNNNNNNNNNNNNNNNNNNNNNNNNNNNNNNNNNNNNNNNNNNNNNNNNNNNNNNNNNNNNNNNNNNNNNNNNNNNNNNNNNNNNNNNNNNNNNNNNNNNNNNNNNNNNNNNNNNNNNNNNNNNNNNNNNNNNNNNNNNNNNNNNNNNNNNNNNNNNNNNNNNNNNNNNNNNNNNNNNNNNNNNNNNNNNNNNNNNNNNNNNNNNNNNNNNNNNNNNNNNNNNNNNNNNNNNNNNNNNNNNNNNNNNNNNNNNNNNNNNNNNNNNNNNNNNNNNNNNNNNNNNNNNNNNNNNNNNNNNNNNNNNNNNNNNNNNNNNNNNNNNNNNNNNNNNNNNNNNNNNNNNNNNNNNNNNNNNNNNNNNNNNNNNNNNNNNNNNNNNNNNNNNNNNNNNNNNNNNNNNNNNNNNNNNNNNNNNNNNNNNNNNNNNNNNNNNNNNNNNNNNNNNNNNNNNNNNNNNNNNNNNNNNNNNNNNNNNNNNNNNNNNNNNNNNNNNNNNNNNNNNNNNNNNNNNNNNNNNNNNNNNNNNNNNNNNNNNNNNNNNNNNNNNNNNNNNNNNNNNNNNNNNNNNNNNNNNNNNNNNNNNNNNNNNNNNNNNNNNNNNNNNNNNNNNNNNNNNNNNNNNNNNNNNNNNNNNNNNNNNNNNNNNNNNNNNNNNNNNNNNNNNNNNNNNNNNNNNNNNNNNNNNNNNNNNNNNNNNNNNNNNNNNNNNNNNNNNNNNNNNNNNNNNNNNNNNNNNNNNNNNNNNNNNNNNNNNNNNNNNNNNNNNNNNNNNNNNNNNNNNNNNNNNNNNNNNNNNNNNNNNNNNNNNNNNNNNNNNNNNNNNNNNNNNNNNNNNNNNNNNNNNNNNNNNNNNNNNNNNNNNNNNNNNNNNNNNNNNNNNNNNNNNNNNNNNNNNNNNNNNNNNNNNNNNNNNNNNNNNNNNNNNNNNNNNNNNNNNNNNNNNNNNNNNNNNNNNNNNNNNNNNNNNNNNNNNNNNNNNNNNNNNNNNNNNNNNNNNNNNNNNNNNNNNNNNNNNNNNNNNNNNNNNNNNNNNNNNNNNUCUAUCCAAAACGGGUAAAGAGGUGCUCAUAAAGUCUGUGGCACAAGCUAUUCCUUCAUUCUGUAUGAGUGCUUUCCUUAUACCGGUAUCCAUCUUACAGGAGAUUCAGAGGUUAAUGAAUUCUUACUGGUGGGGAGGAAAGAUGAGAUGGUUAAGUUGGGAAAGGCUGUGUGUAGCGAGGGAAAAAGGAGGUUUAAGCUUCAGACAUUUGCGCAGUUUCAAUCUCGCCAUGCUAGGAAAACACUGUUGGCGGCUUUUGCAUAACACAAAUUCUCUUCUUUAUAGUUCUUUCAAAUCUAAAUAUUUCCCAAGUGGGAAUUUCCUUGGUGCAGGCAUUGGCCGUAAUCCAAGUUUUGUAUGGAGAGGAAUUUGUGCAGCUAAGGAUGCUAUUCGUUCAGGUUUUCGGUGGAGAAUUGGAGAUGGUCAGUCAGUAAAUGUUUGGACCGAGCCAUGGCUAUUGAGGGAUAACCAGCUCCGCAUUAACUUGCCUAUUCUUCCUGGUUUUGAGCAUAUAAGGGUUUCAGACCUUAUUUUGCAACAAGGGGAACGUGCUUGGAAUUUGCCCCUGAUACAAGGUCUUUUCAAUUCUUCAAUUGCUGAACUUAUUGCUUCCAUUCCUUUAGCUACAAAUAUUCAGGAAGACACCCUUAUAUGGCACUGGACAGACUCAGGGAUAUAUUCUGUGAAAUCUGGUUACAAAAUAGUAGCAUCUCAAUGUGUGGAUAUUGAAGAUAAUUUGCAGUCCAAUUUUUGGAAAGCUCUUUGGUCUCUGAAAAUUCCGCCGAAAGUGAGGCAUUUCCUCUGGAGGUGCUGCCGAGACAUUCUGCCAGUUAAAACAACUUUGGAAAGAAGGGGAAUGGAGCUUGAUACAAGAUGCGAUUAUUGUGGUGUUGCUGAAACGUUAGCCCAUGCUCUUGUUGAGUGUCCAAAAGCAAGAUUUAGUUGGCAGUUUUUUGGUGUUCAACCAAAUAUUGGCAAUUUUCCAAAUUUCUUACAGAUGUUCGAACACUUGCACAAGGUGUGGGAAAGCGACUUUUUUGAGAGUUUUAUUAUGGGUCUAUGGAGUAUUUGGCUGAGCCGUAAUGAUCUCAAAUGGAACCAAAUGAAUGUAGGACAUUAUCAUGUGGUUACUAGAGCUAGAAGUCUGCACGCAUCUUGCAAGAAAGACCACCUUGCCAGGUUUGUAUCAGCAGCAACGUCUUCCUUGCAUGGAUGCUCUUCUCCAGCAGUAGCAGAAGCUCAGGCGUUAAGAAAUGUAUUAUCCUGGGUGCUGCCGAGCCACCAUACUUUGACGAUUCAGGUUGAGACCGAUUGCCUUCAAGUCUAUCAUGCUAUGAGGAGUUCUGUCCACGACUGGUCCGAGUUUGGUGUUGUCAUCUCUGAAUGUAAGCUACUCUUAGUCCAAUUGCCUAAUGUCAAACUGGCUUGGAUUAGAAGACAAGCAAAUGAUCUAGCUCACGUGUUGGCUAAAUCCGUCCCCAGUGGGGCUUGUUUUCAAACUUGGGAUAGUGUUCCCGAUUGUAUCGCUCGUUUCUUCUCUUAUUAAUAUAAUCCAUAAUUCAAAUGUCAAAAAAAAAAAAAAAUAUAAGAGAAAUUUUACAAAUAUAAAAAAUAGAUAAGUUAUUAUAGGCAUAAAUUUCUUUUAAUUAAGAAAUUUGUAAAAAUAUAUUAAUUACAAAUUCUAUAUUUCAAUUUACAAAUUGAAGGUUAUAAAUUCAUGAUACAUGGACGUUUACAUUAUAUAAAUUCUAAACCAAACAAAUUUUAUUCAAAAGCUAGAUGAUUACAUAACAAUUUAUUUUUAAAAAUUGUAAAAUAUAAUUUACAACUAAAAUAAGAUUGAUCAGAAACUUCAAAAUUAUAUAUAUAUAUACGUGUAAUUUGUUGUUUUUAAAAAUUAAAUAAAUAUUUUUAUAACUAAAUAUACAAUAUGAAUUAUUUUUUAAAAUGUAAAUGAAUUUAAGAUAACAAUCAAUUAGUUAAAAAACAAAAUAGAAGUAAUAAGGUAUAAUUUAUAUAGUUUAAUUUAUACAAUUUGAUAUUAUAUAAGGGUAGAGAUUUAUAAGUCAAACAUUGGAGUUGUAUAAUUUAAUUUUUUAAUUAAAAAAUAUUAUAUUGAAAAAUAAUGAGUUGUCGUGUAUAUAUGAUAUAAUUUAAAUUACAUGACACAAGAUAAAUGUUUUGACAAUAAAAGAAUAGAAAUUUAUAAUUAUUUAUUAAAACUUUAAAUAAUUUAUGUUGAGUAAAUGAAUUUAAAGUGUUGGAAAAUUAUUUAUCUUUGAAUUUUUAUGUUUUAUAGAAUUAUAGUUGUGUCGAAAAUAGUAACUUUUUUUUAAUUUACACAAUUAAAUAAUUUUUAUAUUUUAAUAAUAAAAAACUAAAUGUUCUACUUUUGAUAAUCCAUUCUAUAAGUAACAAGUCAUUCGAUCAAUUUCAAACCUAAUUGUCAAUGUCUAAUUAGUUUAAAUCUAACAAUGAAGAAAGAUUCUGUAUUAAUACAGAAAUUUUUAAAUUUGUACUGUAGUUUUACCCUUCUGAUUAAACGGCACAACCUCCACCAAAAUAAAGAAAAUUAGAAAAAAAAAAAACAGAAAAGCUAGGUUUAUAUAUGAAAUAAACUUGUGCUUUCAUUUCUACAAUCGAAGAAACAAACAGCCAAAAAAUUAGAUUUUUCAAUUUAUCAGUAAAUAUGGUAAACACAUACAGUCUACUCGAAUAGUAACUGUAUGCGUGAAUAGUAACUGUACACGUGAAUAAUACUAUGCGUGAAAAUAGUGUUGGGCUUACUUGAAACGGUCUCAGCAACAGUAAUGCCAAUAGUACUGUUCACCACUAACUUUGUGUUACUAAUUUACUAUUCAUAACUAAGUCGAUUCUGCAACGAAUUUCCGAGCGAAUAGCACCAAUAGACUCGUCUUAAUUUUCUCGUCGUCGUGGUAUAUUUAUUUUCAAAGUAUAUCCACGGAUCCAGUACCGCUAUCUGACCGGCUGGAUCUACCGAAACAUUCGGCUCUGAUACCAGUUGUUAGACAUCAGCUCUGAUACCAGCUAUUGGGCAUCAGCUCUGAUACCAGUUGUUGGGAAAAAAUUACGCAAAAUCCCCGAUAAGUCAGACGAGGGAGCAAAAGAAAAUAAUAACACACACAAUUUGAUAACGAAGUUCGGCCAAUCUUACCUACGUCUCCAGACUGCUGCAGAUCUUUUAUAGGAGAAAAAUAAAUAAAGUGUUUACAUACACUCAUAACCCUCUAUCCAAGAAUCCCCAAAAAAUUAGGCUUACUUUUUCUUCUUGAAUAAUCUCUCUAUUUUUCUCUCUUACAAUUGCUCUCUCACAAUUGCACUCUCAUUUACUGAUCUAUAUUUUUGCUGUGUAUUUAUGAGCUGCUAACUUUUCCUAUUCAUAAGAAAAGAGAAUGUGUAAAAUUCUGCGUCCACUGCCUAACUUUCCAAAGCUGUGUGCUUCUUUUCCUUUGCAACCCACCAAUAUUCUGCAUCCACUGCCUAACUUUCCAAAGUCGUGUGCUUCUUUUCCUUUGCAACCCAUCAAUUUAAAGUUUCUUCUGAUUUAAGUGGGCACACCACAACCUAACUUUGACAUGACCAUCUUAACAUCAAUCAUUUUCUAAAUUAGACGAUACAGAAUCCCUAGAAUUAUGUUAAAUUGUUUAUAAAUUAUCUAUAAGAUAAGAGUUGUACACAGAAAAAAAUUAUAAUGAGAAUUGAAACCUGUUCUUCAAACUUAAAACUCAAUCUAAGAAUUUUUGUGUGGUGUUGAAGUGCUUAUCCAUUGUGGAUGAGAUAGAGAGCUUGUGACAAUCAAUUGUGCGUUCUAAUUAAACUUCUAGAAAUAUCUGUUUAAUGCCCGUGUCGAUGGCUUAGUGCGCUGUAUAUAGGCCGAUCUUGAACCAAUUACUGAAGGCCGAAUUAUUGAGAUGUUAGGACCACGCAGCAAGUCAAUAAUCUGACAAAAAAAAAAAAAAAAAAAAGAAGCAAAGGCCAAAAUUGCCAUGGUCCCCAAUGCCCUAUUGCUGGUUCGGUUCGCUAUAAAAGCACGGACACUACGAUUCGGUUAAAUAUUAUAAGAUUCUCUUUAAAAAAGAAAAGAAAAGAAAAUAUCAAUCAGUUAUUGAAGAAGAAAGACAUGGCAAAAGCAGAAAUGAGUAGCAGAGGGAAAAGAUGGUCUCUCGAGGGAAAGACUGCUCUUGUCACUGGAGGAACCAAAGGCAUAGGGUAUUUCUAAUUUACUUAUUCUUUAAUUUUCCUCUCUUCUUUCAUUUCAUGCUUAUAUUAGUUUCCUUUGGAGUACUUUAGACAUGCCAUUGUUGAAGAAUUAGCAGAAUUUGGGGCAGUUGUGCACACAUGUUCUCGCAACCAAAAAGAGCUUGAUCAGUGUUUACAAGAAUGGCAAAGCAAAGGCUUCAAAGUAACUGGAUCUGUAUGCGACGUAUCAAAUCGAACCCAAAGGGAAAAGCUUAUGGAUGUAGUUUCCUCCAUCUUUGAUGGAAAGCUUAACAUUCUUGUAAGUUUUCUUCUUUUUUUNNNNNNNNNNNNNNNNNNNNNNNNNNNNNNNNNNNNNNNNNNNNNNNNNNNNNNNNNNNNNNNNNNNNNNNNNNNNNNNNNNNNNNNNNNNNNNNNNNNNNNNNNNNNAUUUAAAGAAGCCUUAAAGGAUACUGCUGAAGACAUUUCGACCAUUAUGAGUACCAAUUUUGAGUCAGCAUAUCAUCUAAGUCAGCUUUCGCAUCCUCUCUUAAAGGCAUCAGAAAAUGGAAAUAUUGUAAAUAUCUCUUCCAUUGGAAGCAUUGCUGCUUUCCCUCUUUGUGCUCUCUAUGCAGCAUCCAAAGGUAUGAUAUUAUGCUUUUUUGGCCCUUUUACUUAUACAUGAUACAUAAUAAUAUAAUUAUGUCUUUCGGCCAUAACUUUAUAUUAUAGCAGUAAUUAUUGAUAAAAUUUUACCAUAUAAUAAAUAUUUAUUACUAAUAGCUAUCAGCUACUGAUCUUUAGUUUUACUUAUUGAAAAUUUUGUUAAAAUUGAUCUAUUUGCUAUUUAAAAAACAUAACAGUAAGCUUAUCGUACGCAGUUAAUUAUUUCACUUGAUUAAUUGAUAAGAUGGAUGAUUUGCAGGAGCGAUGCAGCAAAUUACAAAAAAUUUGGCAUGUGAAUGGGCAAAUGACAUGAUUCGAGUUAAUGCAGUUUUACCAGGAAUUCCAGAUGCCCCCCUCUUAUAUCUUGCAAAGGUUUUUCUAUUAAUCAGUUUUUAAUAAUUAAAUAUUUAAAAGAUGAAAAAGCAAAUUUUUACUCAAUUGUGAUUAAUGAAAGUGAAAUAGUUUUGACAUAUGAAUAUUGAAUCAGUUAAUAUUUUUCUCUUUUAUAGAAAAGUUGGGAUAAUCCUGAAGUUGAGGAUCAAAUCACUCGUGGUAUCCCUCUCUCUCGAGAAGGAAAACCUGAAGAGAUUGCAUCAGUGGUGACAUUCCUUUGUUUACCUGCUUCUUCAUAUAUCACUGGCCAAAUUAUAAUUGCUGAUGGAGGAUUUACUGUGAGUCGCUUCUAAAUUUUACCCAAUAAAAAAAAACAAAAUAGUAAUUAUUUUUGUUGUAUUCUGAAUUAGACAAUAUCUAUUUUAGUAAUUAAA